This 81162-nucleotide long non-coding RNA is filed under the name Theobroma cacao (cacao). RNAcentral describes it as "long non-coding RNA (TCAC_LNC001685)". Lineage: Eukaryota; Viridiplantae; Streptophyta; Magnoliopsida; Malvales; Malvaceae. The record is from RNAcentral.
ACAGUAAACCUAUCAAACAUGGUAGUGACAUCUUCACCCGCUUCCAUUUUAAACAUUUCAUAAUUAUAGGUGAGUAAGGCAAUUUUGGACUCUUUUACUUAUAAAGCCCCCUCAUGAAUGACUUUAAAGUUUUUCUAAAUCUUUUUGGCUGUUGUACAACAAAAGAUUUUGUUGAAUUCUAAAAGAGUAAGUGCACAAUGAAGGAUGUUGAUAACUUUAAAGUUUGUUUAGACUUUUUUGACUUCAGCCUCAGUCCACUCAACUCUAGGCUUAGGCAUUUUCUCAUUAGUAACAAAACUAGGUAAGGUGGGAAUAUAAGAUCCUUCCGUAAUAACAUCUCAUAUUUCUUAGUUAAGGGCUCUAAUGUAUAAGGACAUCCUAGUGCUUCAAUAUACAUAAUUUGAUCCAUCUAAUAGAAGAGGCCUAUUUGUGGAUUGACCCCCAGCAACAAUUGACUUUUGCAAAGCUAUGCGGAUUUUCCUUAAAGAUGUUAAGCCUUAAAAUUAAGAGUAUGGCUCUAAUACCAUUUGUUGGUCCCAAUGGAGUGUUAGAGGGGGUGAAUAGCACUAAAAAUUUUAAGCUUAUCCCUUUGUGAAAGAUAAAGCUUUAAUUGUGUAGAGGAAAAUGAAUAUAAAGCAUUUAGUGGCCAACAAACACCAAGUAAAGAAGAGUAAAGAGAUGUAGACAAUGCAAAGCUAUUUAUAGUGGUUCGGUCUCUUUGACUUACAUCCAUUGCCUUGAUCUUCCAAUCAAGGAGUUUUUACCUAACUUCAUUAAACCAAUGGAAUUAAUAGCUUCCACCAAGCUUUUGUAAGGUGAGCUUCUAACCCAAGCUCUAAUCCCUUACAAUAAGCUUUAGAACACUUCCCACACUCUAAUUUUCUAAGAAAGGAAGAAAAAGAAGUACAACUAAGUACUUUUACAAGUCUAGAUAGAUUACAAUCAAGCUCAAACAUUUUUUCUGGAUUUGAAAUGAAGAACAAAUGUUUUUGGUGAAGAAUAUUUAGCUUUUUGCUCAAAGUAGCUUUUUUCUCUUCAAAUCUUCCUUCUUUGACAGUUAGAGCUUCCUUUUAUACUUGGAGAGUCAAAUUUUCUAUCGGAGAUAGUUUCUAGCCAUUAAAAACAACUCUGAUGCACUUCUAGCCAUUAUUUUAUUUUCUAGUGUUUAAAUUCAAACAAGUAGACAAUCUUCAACUAACCUAUUAUCGACAGCUCUAACCGAUUACAACUUUUCUGUCUUGCACCAUCCUGCUACUGUGGUCUUUGCUCUAACCGAUUACAAGAGGCUCUAACCAAUUAAGAGUUCUCUAUCUUCAAACUUCUUUUCUUCAACAAACUUCCUUUAAUUGGUUAUGGCAGGCUUUAAUCAAUUACAAACUUUUUGUUUUCACUUCUCUACAUAAUAGUCUUCCUUUAAUUGGUUAGCUUUUCCCUUAAUUGAUUGAAGCUUUACUUUUUUCAACCAUAACCAAUAAAAAUCAGCUUUAAUCGACUAGAAGAUCAUUUUGGCUCCCUUCAACGGUUAAUUAUAUUUUUAAACUUGUUUUUGGCGUUUGAAGAUACUAGGACCUUGUGCUUAAACCAAUUAACUAGACCUCUUAAUCAAUUAGCAUAUUUCUGUUUUGCUUCAACUUAUCGCACAACCAUGCUUUAACUAAUUAAAGUCCCUUGAUAAUUAGCUACUAAGGUUAUGUUUUUAUUCAUUAGUUGCUCUUUUCCUCUUAACUAAUUAACUCUUCAUUAAACUUAGCAAGCUCCUUAACUUACUUUUAAUUAAUAGUUUUGUUAAGGGUAUUAAAUUAAAUCCUAUACACUUAAAUAGUGAAGUUAGACAUUAAUGAAUGAAGAAUAUUUUGUUGUCAUAAAAAACAUAUGGAGUCAACACUUAUGUGUUUCUUCAUAAGUGAUUAAAUAAAGAACUAAAUUGUCAUGAGCAGUAUUACUACUUUUAUUGUUCUCGACUGCUAGCAAAACUUUGUAAUCACUUUUUAGCCAUAUGUACAACUUGCUUUGAUACAAAAAUAUUAUAAAAUUAUAAAAAAGUAUUUUUGUAUUUAGUGAAAAUAUUGUUUCAUUACAAUAAAGGGUAUUUCUAUAUUUUGAUGAAAUAUUAUUAAAGUUUAAAUAAAUAUUUUUUUCUAAAUCCAAAAAUAUUAUUAAAUUAUAAUAAAGGAUUUUUUUAUUUUGUGUAAAUAUUAUUUAAUUACAAUAAAGGGUUUUUUCAUCAUUUGAUGAAAAUAUUAUUAAAGCUUUAAUAAAAGGUAUUUUUGUCUUUGUUACAAAAUAUUAUGAUAAAGGGUAUUUUUCUAUUUUGGUAAACAAAUUUUUAAUUACAAUAAACAAUAUUUUUGUCUUUUGAUGAACAUAUUAUUAAAUCUUAAAUAAAGGAAGUUUUGUCUUUUCUCAAAAAUAUUAUUUGAUCAUAAUAAAAGGUAUUUUUGUGAAAAUAUUAAUUAAUUACAAUAAAAGAUAUUUUUAUCCUUUGACGAAAAUAUUGUUAAAACUUAAAUAAAAGAUAUUUUUGUUUUUUUGACAAAAAAAUAUUAUUAAAUGAUAAUAGAGGAUAUUUUUAAAUAUAAUUGAAUUAUAAUAAAAGAUAUUCUUAUCAUUUUAUAAGUUAUUCUUUGAGUAUGUCAAACUCUUCUUAACCUCAAAAUAAUAAUAAUUAUAUUUUAUAAAUUAAAUUACAUAAUAAUUAAUUUUACUAAAUAAUUAUUCUAUUUUGUGAACUAAACUUGUUUUAAACAUUCAGAUCAGCUGCAAAUAGUAUAGGUUUGAUUUAUAUUGAAUUUUCACUAUUUAUUUAUAUUCUAAAUUGUUAAGGGUUUUCUUGAGCUAGUAAAGGGAGAUAAAAACUAUUAAAAACUUAUUAAUGACGAUAUCUUAACUGAAAGGAUAAUGGUGACGUUUGUUGUGAUGUAUGUGUAAUAUUUAUUUAUUAGAAGAAGAAACGAUUAAAAGGAGGAAAAAACAAGAAAAAGGACAUUUUGGUAAUUGAAGGUGAAAUUUCUUCUCCGGACAAGCGACAACUUCCUAGUCCGCAGUCUUAAGCAAGAGCAAAACGGGUCUUCCAUUUCAGGUGAGACUUUGCAAGUAGAGAGAGAGAGAGAGAGAGAGACUCCACCCAAAAGGUCCAAACACCCAAAGAUAAUCAAAACUCUCUCUGUCGAAUUUCAAAUCUGAAAUUGCGAAUUUAGGCAGAAAAAUAAAAAGAAAAAGGAAUAGUCUUCGGUUAUGGCUUUUCAAGGGAAGAAGCUCAUCAACAACCCUAACGGUUCGCGUCUUCCUUCUCCUUGUUUCUCACUAUCUCCUCUUUCUACUACUUAUGUAUCGCCUCCGAUCAUCUGAAUAUAUUUUUUUCUGAGAAAAAAAACCUUGAAAAAGAAUUCAGUGUUUUUCCUCACUCAGUCUUCCGUUCUCUAUCUCUUUAUUCUUUAUUAUUUAUUUCAAUUUUAAAUUUAAGGAUGGAAUUGGCUCGCAUUUCCAAAUUCUUGUUUAUUUGUGUUUGCAUUGUGAAAUGUGGAUUUUUUUUUUGUUUCUGUGCUGUUAGCUGUUAGAUAAUGGAUUUAUUUUAUAUAUACUUGAUCAAAUAAUAGUGGCUUUGCUUUACUCUCUGAGCAAAUGAAAUCUCAGAAUUUAGGCAAGACUACUGUCAAAAAAAAAGAAAAAAGAAAAAAUAAUAGCUUUAGGCUCAAAGGCACAAACUAUUAUAUCUUUUUCCUAAAUUUUCUGCGUUAACUACUCUUUGGUUAGGGUUAAGUUCAAUCAAGGCUUAUGUUCUCUUGUUUCUCGUUAACAUUCCUUUACGAUGCUCUUUCUACCAAAAUACACGAUGUGAAAUAUGGAAAAUAAUUGGGUAACUGUUAAUAGAGGGAAUUGACAAUUUUAGUUUUCUGUUUUAUGAAAAAUUAUUUGUUGUUGUUUUAUUAUCGUGGUGGCAGAUGUGGUCACUGAAUUUAUUGAGGGUCUUGUGGAAACCUAUCCAGGACUCCAGUACUUAGAUGGUUUCCCUGAGGUGAUUAAUUUUUCCUCCUUGCUCAUGUAUAUUAGUGCAAUGAGGCUUAAUUUACACAAAAUGGUAACUAGCCCGUUUGCAGGUGAAGGUUGUAAUACGUGCUGAUGUUUCGGGUGCAACAUAUGACAAGGUUGCUGUCAUAUCAGGUUUGGACCAUUUUAAAGCUGCUAACACUUCAUAUCUGUUUUCUUGUGCUGGAAAAUGAAAGUCAAAUUCUUUACUUUGUUUCUUUUAUUAUCUUCAUGAACUAUUACGCUUCCCAGACAACUUUUUAAGCUGCAGUCACCUUUUGUCGUUUCUAAUGAUUUUGACAAUCAAUUAGUUUAACAUCCUCAUUGUUAGGCAACUUUAGGCACUAAACUUGUAGUUAUUAUUCUUUAACAUUUAUGCUCGAAAAAUUUCCCUGACAUCUGUAAGAAAAUAUAUUAGUAACUAUUCUGAUUGUCCAGGACCGGUUGUGGAUUAGUUGGUAUGCAUCAUUGGGCAUAAACUUUGGAGCAUGCAUGGUUCUGGCCUUCUUAUGGUUCUCCAUUCUUUUCCAUUGAAAUUUUAAUUUCUUCCAUAUCACCACUUAUGUUUUAACUGUAUGGGGUUUAUUUAUGUCCAUGCACAUGUUACAUCUUGUUUACUUUUCUUACAGCUUAUGUGAUUAAAACAAGAAUAAUUAUUAUAAGUGGAAAAAAUGUAUUGAAUUUUCUGGCCUCCUCUCCUCUUGAGAGAAGAAUGGUGGUCAUGUCAUGUGAUACUGGCUGUCUUAGGACCCUUUAUGGCUAAUAAAAAUUAUGAAAACGGUGCAUAGAGAACUUUUUAUUUGAUAUAAUUUUUGAUGCAGGAGGUGGAAGUGGGCAUGAACCUGCACAUGCUGGAUUUGUGGGAGAAGGGAUGCUGACAGCUUCCAUUUGUGGAGAUGUUUUUGCAUCUCCUCCGGUUGAUUCAAUUUUAGCUGUAUGCAUUCUAUUUGCUAUUUUUUUUGUGGUUUAAAGAACUGCCAAUUAUGUUAACAUAUUUCCCAUAUUUGACUGAAAUUAUCAUCAGGGCAUUCGAGCUGUGACUGGUCCUAUGGGAUGUCUUCUGAUAGUUACGGUAUUUUUCUUUCCUAAUAAAUCAGGUGAUAGGUUUAUAUGAUAUCAAUUGCUAGUUGGAGGUAUUUAGAGCUAUCAAGAUGUGUGCUCUAAUUUUUUUUCUUUUAGAAUUAACCUCUUUUUAAUUACUCCUGAACACCCCCCCCCCCCCCCCCCCCCUGCAGCCCCUCAUCUUUUAGUUCUGAUUCAUGUUAUCAUCUGGAUGUGGAUAGAAUUAUACUGGUGAUCGCUUGAAUUUUGGUUUGGCUGCUGAGCAAGCAAGGUCUGAAGGUUAUAAAAUUGAAGUAUGUUUUCAUGCUAAACAUUUUUUUAAGACAUUUUUAUUUCUUUGACUUUCUGAAGCAUUGUCAGGGAAAAUAAUAUAAAAACUAUUGGAUGCAAUUCCUUCCCUUUGCAGACUGUAAUUGUUGGAGAUGAUUGUGCAUUACCUCCACCCAGAGGCAUUGCUGGACGAAGAGGUUUGGCAGGAACUAUUCUUGUUAAUAAGGUACUCUAUCUCUGUCUGUCCAUACUUGAUUCCUAUUAACUCAGAAAAAAGUUUUAAACUGUUAGUUGCUAGCUUGCUGUAAUUAUGCUGUUUGACAAAAGGCAAACUGUAUUUCUAUAAACUGUUAACAGGAGUUUCCAUUCAAUGCUGUUUAUCUUAAAGGGUUGCUCUCUUUGAAAGGCUACCUUUAGAAAAGUGGCUUUUUUAAAAUUAAAAAUCUAUUUGCAGUAAAUUAUUGCAAUUGUUCCUCUUCCUCUUUGUGGAAUACAGGUUGCUGGAGCUGCAGCUGCUGCUGGCCUUUCCCUUGCUGAUGUUGCUUCAGAGGCGAAAUGUGCAUCUGAGAUGGUUGGGACAAUGGGUGUCGCAUUAUCUGUUUGCACAUUGCCUGGUCAGGUUACAUCUGACCGCUUGGGCCCAGGAAAGAUGGAACUUGGUCUCGGAAUUGUGAGUUACUUUUCAGUUUUCAUUGCGAAAUAUUUUAGUGCUUAUAUUUCUGCAGAAUCAAGUGAAAGUAGUUUUUUGUUUACUUUUAUUGUUUUGAGUUGAUCAGUUUUAGACUUUAGUUCUAUUCGCUUAGCCUUUGACUGUUGUUCCUUGCGUUGUGCUUCUCUUUGUUUUUCUGAUUUGGUUUCUAUUUCAAUGCUUAACAAAUAUUCUUCUUUCAGCAUGGGGAACCUGGUGCUGCUGUGGCAGACCUCCAGCCUGUGGAUGUGGUUGUUUCUCAUGCUCUUAAGCAAAUCUUGUCACCGGUAUGUCCCAAUAAUGGAGCAGCAGCUUGUUUAUUUUAACCCCCUGCCCUUUUACAUUAUACCUCUAAGGAAAACGGAAUUUGUGCUACAUAGAUCUCAUACCACUAAUGGUGAUGAUGUCUGAUAAUAAGUCUACUAUUGCUAUUGUGAAGAAAAUAGCCUUGAAUUUUUUCUCAAGUAGUUCAGUAUGAUAUUGUUAUAUCUCUCAUUUGGUUGUUUUUUUUUUUUUUUUUUUUCAUUAUUUCAUUUUUGAGGUUGAAAACUAAAGAGCCUAAUUCCAAUGGAAGCUAUUUAAGUUUCAAUUGAUAUUUUAUACUUUUAUUUGGUCUAAUUGAGCCUUCCCUUUCCAAUAUGCCUCAUUUAAGACCGAUUAUAGGCUGUGCUGAAGACUUGCUGUUUAAUUAUGGUGAUGUGGUAUGAUAAAUAUGGCUUAAAUCAAAAUAGAAGACUAUCGAAGAACCAUUAUAUACCUAACUGAAAAAAAAUAAACCAGUACCUGUUAUCCUAAUUUGAAAAAAAUUAGAACCUUAUUAGAAACUAGAAAGAUAGAAAAAUUUAGAUAUCUCUCGCUAGGCUCUUUCUCUGAUUCUCUUCCCUACAGCAGCAAUGGCAUUCUUAACUAAUGACAUCUAGACUUCUAAAACUAUUCAAUUUGGAUUAUUUUAGGUUCAUAUAUUGAAAUCAUGUGGCUUAUGUUGGGCCAUUGGGCCAUAUCUCAUUUAUUUUGAAAAACACCAUGUGUAUCUCUUUCACAAGAUUCAAAGCUGUUACUAUUAUUGCUUGUUCAAGGUUAGUUUCAUUGAUACAUCAUCUCUUUGCCUUUCCUGUUGUGGUUGAGACUGAAAAGGGCCUCCCAGACAUUGAUAAAAAUGCAUAGCACUGCAUUAUAUUGCCAUUGAAUGUUUGAUUUGCCACGAGCACUGUCACCUGCCUUGGGUCACUCCCUCGACUUUCCUCUUCAUAGCCAUCCCACCACUGUUACCUCUUUAUCAUCUUCUGGUAUGUAUUAUUUCAAAUUGCAACUUAAUAUUUUUAAUUUUUUCAGGAAACUAACUAUGUUCCAAUUACACGAGGCAAUAGAGUGGUGCUCAUGAUUAAUGGGUAUGUAUGGAUAUUAAUUUUCUUUCUGCUGUUUUAUUCUCUAUUCUAAGUGGUCUGUGUGGUUUUGGGCUUCAAAUCUGAAUCCAGUCUGUUGCUGAUUUAUUUUGACCUUUGGCUAGGAAAUACAUUAGCAUUUCAUGGAAAAUAACUAUUUGGAUCAUGCCCUAUGCUGUUUAGACAUACCAUUGUGAUAGGUUCCAAGGUGAUGAGUCUGUAAGGGUGACCAACAAAAGAACAGUAGAGGAAAAAGAUGAGGACUGAGGAAUAUGGCCUUGCUAGAAAUAAUAAUACUUGGUCAACUGCAAUGAGUUCACAAUAUACAUUGUAAAUAAGUUGAGUUUUUAGCCGUGUUAGAUUGUUGAAUAUUUUUUUCUUAGCUUGGUUACAGCUGAAUGUAGCUUUUGCCUUUAGCCUGGUAGGUGUUGCUUGGGCUUUAAAAAUUUGAUUUUAGCAUCAGUUGUAAAAUGGAAAUCAGCUAAUGCAAAUUAGUAUAACUGAAUCUAUGAAUUGUUAUCUUAGAUGUGCACAAGAAAUGGGUAUGACAUGAUAUAGACAUGGCAAUAAAUAAUAUCUUUCUAUGUAUUUCAUAUACCUAAAACAAUUUUAGCGUGAAUGAGAACAUUGAUUUUUUUAUUUGAUUUUGAAAAUGGGCUUUGCUAUUUUCUUAAAUUGCAGUUGAUAUUGGCUCUAGUGGCCUAAAACCAAUGUUUUUGCUUGAUUUCAGAUUUUUAGUGGUGGGUUGCUAUCAAAGUUUAAAGGCUAAAAUAGAUCUUUACUUGAACCAUAUUCUGGCCCAUAAUAACCCAUAUCCAUUAGGCCUAUAGCGGCAUAUAGUGCCCAAAUAUAAAUAACCUCAGAGAGGCAAAAGCUGUUCUUGGUUUUGUCCUCCACUCUCUCUUGCUUCAGUUCCUGCCAGUUAGCUUUCGUUCUCUGUCUCCUUUCACUCAAAUUUUGUUCUUCUUGUUCCCAACAACCCUAGAUAUUGCGUAGAGAUUCAUCAAUUCCAUCUGGUCAUCAAAGUCGUAGAUUGUACUAGCAGAUCAUGGUGAAUAAUUGAUGUUGUGUGGAGUGGCAUCUGUAAUUGACAGGGAUUUGGAUCCUAUGUCCUCCCCAUGUCUUUCCCAUAUUCUUGCCGUGUCCUUCGUCUAAAUAUAUAUAUAUAUUUUGCUGUCUCAUCAUGUUUGACAUGUAUCUGGCCAUGUCUUAGGUGUGUCCAUUUUGGACAUGGACAAGCAGGGGGCUUUUCUGUGUCUGUGCUUUAUAGGUUGGAAGAUAUUAGGAAAGGUAAAUCAUGAAUACUAGCUUUGAUUGCCUGCUCUAGAUGUAUGUUCUUUAGAUAUACUCUUUUUGUUAAGGUGCCUGAGCAUAAAAAAGCAUAAAAUAAUAAUUAUUUUAGGCUCCGUUUGGUUGAUGCUUUUGUUAUUUUCUUUUUUGCUUUUUGAAGAAUUGUUAUAAAGCAAAAGAAAAAGGUAAAAAACAAUAUCAUAAUUGAUUUAAAAUGAAGAAAUAAGUAAAAAAUGAAUUAUAACAUAACUAGCGUACAUAGAAGUAGAUUUAUGCAUUUUGUAAUCUAAAAAGAAUUGCAUAUUGUGUAUAAUCCUUCAAAAAAAGUGGCUUUUGUAUCCGCACAUGCUUUUUGCUUUUUUGCUUCCGAAAGCUAAAAGCAAAAAGUAAAAGCACCAACAAAUGGAGCCUUAAUUUCGCUCUUCUACUUUUAAUAAUUAAAGUUUUUGAUGUAAGAAAGCUAGGUAUCUAGCGUUUAUGGCAAUUCUCUGGUUUGAAUGCUUGAGUGAAACAUGGAAAAUUGAGGAUAAAGAAAAAAAGGAAGAAAAUAAAUCCCUAAGCUUUACACUCAGGUUUCCUUAGGAGUCACACCUAAGGUGGAUCACAUCACACAAAAAUUACUCAAUCACAAUAGCAAAAAAUGUUCAAAAUUCUCUCACAUAAGUUUCCUAUCUCAAAAGAAAAGAGUACAUUGACUUCUAUAGACUCCUGGAAUUCCUAAUACCAUCAGAAUUAGCAGUCUUACUUCAAUAACUACUUAAAGAAAUAGGGAAGACUGCAAAUAGAAACCUAACAAACUUAACUUAAAAUAAACCCCGAUAGGAUAAGGAAAACCAAAACUAAGAUCCUAAAUGCGAAAUGCCAAAUUUAACUCGAAGUCCCUUGUACUUGAAAAAUGAACAGUAUACCAAUUAACGUAAAAUAGCUUGAAUAGCCGAAAAUGUGGAAUCUAUAAAAGUUAUAAUCAUGUCCAUAAAAUACAACAAUGUAACAAAUAGUUUAAUCCCUCAAAUAGUUGCUUUGCAUUUUGCAUUGGUUUCUGUUUUGAACAUUAUUCUAUCUCCUAAGGCUAAAUGAACUCUUAUAUAGUUUUACCAAUUGGGGGAUUCACAAAUUGUUUUUCCCAUCUUACUAUAAGUAGCCAACACUAGUCUUCUGUGAAUAUAAUUUGCACAAAAGUUGAGGCUUGAUGGUUCGUGAUAUUAUAUGAUGGAUCUAAUUCUCUCUCUCUCUCUCUCUCUCUCUCUGAAAACUUAAUGGUUACUUAUUAGGUGCUCCAAGUUAUUCCUGUAAAUAUACCAACACUUUUUCGUUGUUUUUUGAAUGCUGGAUAAUGGUAAUGACACAAUUAAAACCUUACUAUGUAGACUGUGUUUUUGUGCAGUUUUACACUGGUUGUUAAGUAUAUACCGACUCAUCUAAACUGACCUUGCUGCUCUUCACUGAUGUGUAAAGUUGUGCUUUCUGGCUGUUUAAAUAACUUGCAUUUACUAUGCAACUGCUCCCAUUGCUGUAAUUAAUACAUGUGUGUCAAAUCAUGAGCUUACUGCAUAGUGUGCUUUUCCAUGGUGCCAGUUUAGUGUUAAGAACUCCUGAGCUUCUAAAAUCUCCACUUGGGUUGGCUCAAGUUGUUAUGAUUGCAAUUAUGUGUUUUUUCUUGUGUGUUAUUUUAUUUUUGUUAUUAUUAUUUCUGAAAAGUUAGAACUUUGCAACCUGCAUCAUCAUUGCCACUGUAAUGAUGGAAUUGAUGACUGUGUAGGGGAGAAAGUGGACAGAGUAGCUUAUGAGUUGGUCUAGGUCUAGUUUGGCUUGAUUUGAACUGGUUUAUUUGGUUAGCUUGAGCUUGAAAAUUGAGCUUGGUUAUUAAUAACUCUAAUAAGCAAGCUUGAGUUCAGGGGUGUUUAUCUUGUUUUUGUCUUUAUGUGAUGGAGAACAUUCUUUAAGUUUUUGGAAGAAUGUUGACUCUAGGCGUAAAGUUAGGAAAGAGGAUUUAAUUUAUUAGUAGACAUAUUGGUUUGGUUUAUUUCAUUAGUUGUUAUUUGGGUUUGGUGGGCUUUAUUUUCCCAUGGGCUUAAACCUGGGCUUAUGAAGCUUAUAUAUAUAGGUUUUCUUAUGUUUGGAGAUUAAAUUUUGAUGAAUGAUAUUUUUGACAUUGAGAUAUUGAGUUUAUAAAAUUGGAGAUUUCAGAUUAUUCUUGAGUUUUGCUCUUUUGGGUUAUUUGUUCUACAUGUUUGUGAAUAAAGCUCUUUUAGAAGUUCUAUUUUAUGUUUUUAUUCUAUUAGUUUAAUUGCUUUUGUUUGAAAUGUCUUUUUUUUUUCUCCCAUUUGAAAUAUUUUAUUGUGAUCUUCAAUUGUAUUUUUGUUGACUGAAUUAGGUUAGAAUUAUGAUUAAAAGAUAUUUAGUAUUACUAUUUGAAAAGAAUUUGAGUAAAUAAAUUAGCUUGUUUAAAGCUCAGAGUUGAGGUCAUUUAAAAGCUCUAAUUAGGUUCAUUUGUUUAAACAAAUUGAGCUCAAACUCAAUAAGAACCUAAACUCAAUUUCCAAAUUUUAGGCUUAAUAAAAGCUUGAGCUUGAUGAAUUAACAAAUUGAGCUCAAACUCAAUACGAACUUAAACUCAAUUUCCAAAUUUUAGGCUUAAUAAAAGCUGGAGUUCGAUCAAUUGCUUAAAUGAUCUCCCUAGUCAAGCUUGGCUUGGCUCAAGUAUGCAUUCCUGUGCAUUUAUGUACUGUAGUAGUUUUUGUCCAUGUCUUUUCGUUAUCAUCAUUUUAAAGAUCUUUUAACAUGCAGCUUAGGUGCCACUCCUGUGAUGGAGCUGAUGAUUGCAGCUGGAAAGACUGUCCCUAAAUUGCAGCUGGAAUUUGGACUUGCCGUUGAAAGAGUGUAUACAGGAUCAUUUAUGACCUCUCUUGAUAUGGCAGGUUUGUUCUUGUUGAUAAAUUUUUUUUUUGUUUAUUAGUAGUAUUGUUCUUUAUCAGUACAAUGUUUCUUUCAGGAUUUUCAAUCUCUAUAAUGAAGGCAGAUCAAACUCUGUUGCAACGCCUGGAUGCUCCCACUAAGGCUCCUAAUUGGCCUGUUGGUUCUGCUGGUCUGUGAAUGUGUUAGAAUAUUGACACUUCUUGUUUAUGUCUCCUCAUUUCACUUGUCUAAAGAUGCAUAAGGAAGAAAUUUGAGUGGUGUUAAACCUCAUAUUUUGCAUCACAUAUUUAUGAAUUGCACUGCUGCAAAGAUAAUCUUAACCUUUUAUUGCAAUGGUUAAAACAGUUAACCACACUAGAUUGAAAAUUAAAAAUAAAGUUCAAUGGCAAUUUGGGGUUCAUUAAGCUUAAAUGCUGUGUUUUCUUGUAGGUAAUCGUCCACCUGCCAAGAUUCCUGUCCCACUGCCACCAUCUCGUUCAAUGAAGAGUGAGGAGGUUGGUUGCAGGAAUUAUUGAUUAUCAUAAAGGGGUAUAUUGUGAAUGGACAGGUCAUAUAUUAUAGAUAAAUCUUCUAAUUAAAGGCUAGAUUUACAUUUAAUUAACAUCUCUUUCCAGGCAGAAUGUAGAUAUUAGUUUUUUAGUUGCCAUUACUAGACAGUUUAACUUCAUUUCUAGUCAUUGAUGUUGUUAUUGAUAGAUGUAGACAACACUGCAUGACAUAUGCACAAUCUUUGACUUGCUAGGUAGGCUAUGGAAAAGUAUAAUAGCAAUACUAACAGUAGAAGAGAAUGAAAUGACAUCAUAUUAAAUUUCUCAGUAUGUACGAAAAAGAAAUUUCUUAUUAUGCGGUUUUAUGUUCUGUUGAUGAUACAUCACAAAUUGGGAAAGGUGCCUUCUUGUCCCCCUAGUCCACAAAAUAACAAAACAUAAUAUGGAUUUACACUGGUUAAAAUGUUGUCAUGGCCGAGAAAUUAAUCCAUGGAUAAUCCUCUGGAUCUGUUGGAAUAGCCUAGGAAGCUCCUAUGGCUGAUGCUAAACUUUUUUUGAGUUAAAAUAAAAUAAUUUCACAAAUAGACUGUGGGUGUUUUAUUGUCUGAAGAAGGAAAAAAGGAACUAAAGCAGAAGAAAGAAAAAAGGAAAAAAAAUGAAUGAACAUUAGUUAGUGAUGAAAUACAAUCCCUUAGGACACAAUCCUGUGGUUACAUUCUUUUUGGUACCUGAACUGUGUAUUCCAUGUGGGGAGGUGGGUUGUUAAUAUGUGUUAAAAUAGCAAAUACUUUUGAUGCCUCAGGUUUUUGGGGUGCUAAGUUUUUGGGGCAUAUGACCUUGUUAAGAGCUGUUGGCUAUGAAACAAAGCAGUUUCUGAUUGUGUUUAACUGGCAUCUUACUAUCACCAAAAGGAAAAAUGAAAAUGGAAUGCCUCAAAAAUGAAAUGAAGAAAAAAGAAAAAAAGANUGUUAGUAUUACCUCAAAGAAAAAGAUAUUUGAUAGAAUUGACCUUAAAGAAAGUAAGUAAUUAUAUAUAUUUAUUUGUGCUUCAGUCGAUUUGGACACACUUAACUGAAUCUGCAAAAUAUAGUUGGGGAGGGGGGGGGGGGGGGGGGAUUGGAGGAAAUCCUUCAUUAAGCUGACCCUUCUUGUUUGUUUCUGGUAGUCAUUAAGUCGGCCGCUGCAGCUUAGUGAACAGGGCCGUAUACUUGAAGUAGCUAUUGAGGCAGCGGCAAAUGCAGUAAUCGAUAUGAGGGACAGUUUGAAUGACUGGGAUAGCAAAGUAGGUGAUGGUGACUGUGGGUCAACAGUAAGUCGUACACUGUCUUAAUCCAUCCUUUAGCUUUUGGUUCACAGUUUCUUGCAUGCUAUGCAUGAUUAAUUUGCUUUUGCAGAUGUACAGAGGUGCAACAGCAAUCCUUGAUGAUAUGAAAAAAUAGUAUGCCCUUUCUCCAACAAUUUUAUGUUUUCUUUUGUUGCUUGAAUAGAGGAAAUUGUCCUACCAUAGUAGUUGUGGCAGUCCCAGGCCAGAAUGCUAGGACAUAUGUGUAAUUGUUAUGCAGGCUGUCUGCCCACCAUUGCAAUUGGUUUUAAGAUUGCUGGACAUGUAUAACUUUUUGACGGACUGUCAGAGGUGUUAAUGGGUCAUUAUCUUAGACAUGUACGAAGGGGUAUAUUUAGCUUUGAUUUUAAAAGGUUGCUAAUAAUACCAAGUAGUAUAUAUAUUUUAAGACUUCCUCAAUGUGGGCUGACAUGGCUUGCUUGUAGAUCUUAUUCUUGUUUCACAACUAUUGGAUUGGAUUUAAAAAUAGUGAUGUACAUGCAAACUAAUUAUGUAUUUCACUUGUUAUUGUAGCUUUUGUAUUAGUGUCAUUAGAAUGCUAAGAAAAAUAGUGAUGUACAUGCAAACUAAUUAUGUAAUUCAAUUGUUAUUAUAGACUUUGUAUUAGUGUCAUUACAAUGCUAAGAAGAAUUCCAGGAAAAUUGUUGUUUGAGAUGCUUCAAAGUCUUCGAUGCCCAUAAUUCUACAGAGGAUAUUUACCCGAAGAGAUAUAUUAAUGUAUAAAAUUAUUGUAGUCAAACAGUCAUCUGGAAUUUCAAGCUUUGUUGUUAUUUCUUUGUUUGUCAGCUCUGUUGUAAUUAGUUGUGUUGCUAUUAUUAGCACAAUAGUUCAAUUGCAGAAGUCAUGCAAUCAUUGAUGACUAUCAGCUUUAAAUCCUGUUGUUUUAAUACGUAACAAUGCUUUUGCACUUCAUUGAUUAUCAUUCCAACAAAAUAUUUUCAUUCUUUUCUUGAUGAUCUUACUUGAUGAAUCAUCUUCAUCUGUUUUCAGUUAUCCUCUGAAUGAUGCUGCUGAAACAGUGAAUGAAAUUGGAUCAUCUGUUAGAAGAGCUAUGGGAGGAACGAGUGGAGUCUUGUAAUUUACUGGCCUGUUCUCUGUGCUUGAUUUAUACUUAACAAAUAACCAGAAAUAUAAACUCUUGAGAUAUCUCUUUUGAACAGAUACACUAUAUUUUGUAAGGCAGCAUAUGCACGGUUGAAAGCAAACUUGGAUUCAACUGUCACAGCAAAGCAAUGUGAGAUGAUGCUUUCAAUCUGAAAGACUUUCUGAUUUAAACACCUUGACUUAAUGACUUUUGAUUUCAGGGGCUGAAGGACUUGAAGCUGCCAUUGAUGCAGUCAGUAAAUACGGUGGGGCUAGUGCUGGUUAUCGUACAUUAUUGGAUGCCCUUAUUCCUGCAUUAGCAGUUCUUAAGGAGGUUGUAUAAAACAACUGCCUCUCUUUGCUCUUUUUGUUAUGUGGUCUAAGAUUUCCCGCUAAUUUUAUGUUUCGGAAGCAGAGAUUAAGUGCCGGUGCUGAUCCUUCCACUGCUUUUGUCGUCUCAUCUGAAGCAGCAUUAGAAGGAGCUGAAUCAACUAAAGACAUGCAGGCACAGGUUGCUGUAUCAUUUUGCCUUUGCUUAUGUAGUAUUUAGGAUUCUGAUUGCAUUAGGCUGUUCUUCUUGGUUGGCAGUUCUUGGGUAUAUAAUUCUAUUAAAAUGCUGUGGUGUUGCAUGCUACAUCUCAAAAUUCAUGCUAAAGUAGGAAGGUCUUUCAAAUUCUACAAACUGAAAAUAGAACUCUAAAUAUAUAGAAGAAACUGACUAAAAAUAGAAUAGAAUCUGCAAUUAAAACUCUAAAUAUAUACAAGAAACUGACUACAAAUAGGAUAGAUGAGAUCACUAUUGUUUUGCAGGUGUUUUUCUUUAAGCUAAAAUGCUAAAUAUGUUCCUGAACUUCCUCACUUUACCUAAAUAAGUCCAUAGAUUUUUAUUGUAUCCAAAUAAGCCUAUACCCUAUAAUUUGUACCUGGAUAGGCUCGGAUAGGCUCUUGUAUUGACAAAAAGAUGUUAUGCAUAUCAUGUGAUCUUAUCGGUCAUUAGGUCCAUGGUCAGCUGGCAUCUUAUGUAUGCAUAGUGGACAUUGAUGUGGUUUUUUUGAUGUGUUAAAAUUAGUUUUUUUUUUUUUUAAAUUAUUUGUUGAAAUUAGUUGAGUGGGAAAAUUUUUUGCUUGAAACGUGGUCAUUUGAGUUAACAUGGUGAUGUAGCCGAAAGGUUUAGGGCAAUUAGAACUCAACAAUUAGGGCUAGAAUAGGGUUGAUUGUGUUGGAACAAUAAAAAGAUAAUUGGGUUUUCAAAGAAACCUCUUGAAUAAAUAUUCAAAAUAACAAAAGAUGAUAAUAAUAAUCUUCUACCUAAGAUACUUAUUUAUAAUAGUUAAGAUAAAUCCUAAUCAAAUAGUAAUUUUAAUCCUAAAUAAAAACUUAAAGUACUAAAAUUCUAAUAAAGAUAGGAAAAAGAAUUUCAAACUAAAUAAAUAAAAUAAAAUCCUAAACUAACUAAAAUACUAAAUAAAUUUUCAUAUGCGCCUGCAUCAGUCCCCUCGGGUCAGAAAAGACUCGACUCCGACGAGUAGGCCUUGACAUACUCCUCAUAGAUGUCGGGAUCCACUCUUUUCAAUUCUUCUUCUGCAAUCCAAGUGCUUUCAUUAGCAGGUUUACUAAGCCAUUUCACUAAAAAUCGUCUAUACGGGUUCCCUCGUCUAGAUCGAACCUCUUUUACAUCUAGCACAUCCUCAAUAACUUCAACCUUAGCAAUUGGAAGGUGCUGAAUUUGAGCGUCUAUGGUAGAUGCAGUUCCAUCACAUCCAUCAAAUGGAUACAAGUCCAAAAUAUUGAAAAUAGGACUGAUUUGUAACUCAGGUGGUAACUCAAUUAAAUAGGCAUUUGAACUGAUUUUCUUUAGCACCUUACAAGGUCCAAACUUUCUAGACUUGAGUUUGUGAUAAGUACCCUUAGGAAAUCUUUCUUGCCUCAAGUGCACAAGUACUUGAUCACCUUCCUCAAAUUCCUGCUUGCGACGAUGUUGAUUUGCUGUAAAAGAAUAUUCUGCAUUGCUGGCCUUUAAAGCAGCCUUUACCUCUUCAUGAAUUUUCCGAAUAUGGUCAGCAAAUAACUCUCCUUCAUUACUCACUCUAGCUUCUUGUGGUAGGGGUACUAAAUCUAGCACAUGUUGAGGUUUUAACCCAUAUGCAGCCUCAAAUGGUGUCUUCUUUAUGCUUCGAUUGACAGAAUUGUUGUAAGCAAAUUCAGCUUGGGGUAUGACUAAAUCCCAAGUCUUUGGGUUAUUUUGAAUAAGACAUCUUAACAUAUUACCCAAACUUCGAUUCACAACUUCUGUUUGACCAUCUGUUUGCGGAUGGCAAGUACUAGAAUACUUCAACUCUGUCCCAAAUUUCCUCCACAAAGUUCUCCAAAAAUGUCCCAUAAACUUCACAUCUCUAUCAGAAACAAUGGAAGUUGGAAUUCCAUGUAAUCUUACAAUCUCACGAAAGAAUAAUUCAGCAAUAUGAGUUGCAUCAGAAGUCCUAAAACACGGAAUAAAAUGUGCCAUUUUUGAAAACCGAUCCACCACCACAAAGAUAGAAUCAAAUCCUUUUGCUGUCUUUGGAAGUCCCAAAACAAAACCCAUACUCAAAUGAAUCCAAGGUGCAUCUGGCUCAGGUAAAGGAACAUAUAAACCAGUGUUUUGAGCACUGCCUUUACCAAAUAAACAAGCUGGACAUCUUUUCACCAACCUCUCCACAUCUCGGCGCAUUUUUGGCCAAUAAUAACGAUCAGCCACCAUUGCCAAAGUCUUGUCUCUGCCAAAAUGUCCUCCUAAACCAUUCCCAUGAAGUUCUCUAAUGAUUUGCUCCCUUAAAGAUCCUUCUGGAAUGCACAACUGGUUACCUUUGAAUAAAUAAUAUUCGUGCAACAUAUAAGGUAAAUUUUCAGCUUGUAAUGAACCCUGCAAAUCAGCUAUUAUCUUGCUGAAAUAUGAAUCAGAACUAUACUGAUUUUUAAGUUCUUCAAAUCCUGUGACUUGCGUGCUCAUAACUGAUAACAUUUUACAUCGCCUACUCAAAGCAUCAGCCACAGUAUUAGACUGCCCAGAUUUAUAUUUUAAAGAGAAAUUAAAUUCAUUGAGAAAAGAACUCCACUUAGCAUGUUGGUUACUAAGCUUUUUCUGCGAAUGCAAAUACUUUAAAGCUUGAUGGUCAGAAUAAACAGCAAACCCACGAUAAGCCAAGUAGUGCUGCCAAUGACGAAUGACCCUUACCAAAGCAUAAAACUCUAAGUCAUAAGUUGAAUAACGUCGUCUAGAGUCUGUCAACUUUUCACUAAAAAACUCUAUAGACCUUCCAUCUUGACUAAGAACUGCUCCAAUUCCUACAUGUGAAGCAUCACACUCAACAACAAAUAACUUCUCAAAAUUUGCUCUGAUACCACUUGAUGUAGCCGAAAGGUUUAGGGCAAUUAAAACUCAACAAUUAGGGCUAGAAUAGGGUUGAUUGUGUUGGAACAAUAAAAAGAUAAUUGGGUUUUCAAAGAAACCUCUUGAAUAAAUAUUCAAAAUAACAAAAGAUGAUAAUAAUAAUCUUCUACUUAAGAUACUUAUUUAUAAUAGUUAAGAUAAAUCCUAAUCAAAUAGUAAUUCUAAUCAUAAAUAAAGACUUAAAGUACUAAAAUUCUAAUAAAGAUAGGAAAAAGAAUCUCAAACUAAACAAAAUAAAAAAAUCCUAAACUAAUUAAAAUACUAAAUAAAUUUUCAUAUGCGCCUGCAUCACGUGGUCGUGUGAUCUUAGCCAAUUUCACCACAUUUGAAUAUCCAUGUCAUGUUAUGAAUGUGAAAGAUCUCAGUUGACCGUGAGUCUAAAGGCCAUUAAGGUCAAGUGACAUUUUUCCAUCAACAUAGGGGUUUAUCUAAGUAAAAAUCUAGAAUAGGAACUUAUUCUGAGUACAAUAAAAAGGUAAGGUUUAUUUUGUUUUUUGAAAAAUUUGGGAUAAUUCAGGGCCUUAUUAAGCACUUUUAGUUUUUCUUUUUCCUUGUUCCUUUUGGGAGAGUUUCUUGUCUGCUUUUUCUGAGUUUUACUUUGGCCUUUGGGUACAAAAAAAAGUGUCAGGGUUAGUGCUAUUUAAUCAAAGGUUUAAGUUCGGAUAUAGUUGCUGCACUUUUUCGACAUUUGAUUUGGUCUCUAAACUUUAAUUUCUUAAAAUCACAAUUUGUGCUUUCAAAUUUCUCCAACCAAGAAAAAUUCUAUAACACCCAAUAAAAGUACAAGACUGAAUUCUAACAAAAUUCUACAUAGGAUAAAUUUUUUAAUAGGUUGCCUAAGCUAAUUUAGAUCUGUUUGGUUAAUGUUUCCUGCUUUCUAUUUUGUGUUUUCUAUUUCGACUAAUUUUAUUUUGUUUUAGUUUUAAAAAUUUGAAAGCAAAAUGCAUGUUUGAUGUUUGGUAAGCAGCCUCAUUCCAUGUUGAAAAAAAAAAAAAAAGAAUGAUGUUAUUGCAAACAUAAUAAUUCAAUAUAGAAGUAAACUAUUAAAAAAUUAAUAAUAAAUAAUAACAUGAUGUAAUAUAAUAGAUUCUGAUAAAUUUAUAAAUUUGUGUAAUAUAUUCUAUCAUGUUAUUACUUAUUUUCUAUGAAAAAUCUUUCAUAUGUUUCAUUUUAAUAAUAAUAAUAGUAGUAGUAGUAAUUAACUAUUAAACAAUAAGUUGGCCCAAAGUUUAAAUGUUAACAUAAUGUAUUAUAUGUUAAACAUUAUAAUAAAACAUGAAGACAUAGCCUUUAGUUGUUAAAUAUCAAAUAUUACAAUAUGUUAUUUAUUUAGGUAUUAUAGUGCUUAUUAUAUCUAAUAUAUCAAUAAAUUUAUAAAGUAAUUUAGUUUUAAAUAUAUUGUAUUGAUAAAUAUAGUUUCAAAAUAAUUGAAUACUAUACUGUAAAAUAUAAUUAUAUAAAAUCAUAUUAUAUUUUGUUUGAUUUGCAUUAUAUUUAUAAAUGGUUACAAUACUAUAUUGAAUAUGAAAUGUUUUUAUAUGGUUUUAAUUUAUAUUUAAUACUUUAUAUUGUUUUGAUUUUUAAUAUUUGUAACCUAAGUCUAUGCUGAUUUUGACAUUUAUUGUUAAACUAUACAUUUUAUUGGUUUUAUAAGUUUAUGUUAAAUUAAAUAUUAUUAUAAAUUUAUUCUUAAAUUAGUUUAGUCAAUGGUUUUUUAUUAUAAAAAUUUAAUCUUGAUACAUGGGCAUUACUCACCUACUUAUAAAUAAUAUAAGAGAUGGAGAUAUUGCUUUUGAAACAAUCAUUUUUUUUUGUUUUCAUUGUGGGAAUAGAUAACUCGUUUUCUACUACUGUUUAAAAUACCUGGAACCUAGAAAGAAUAUGGGAAACAAAAAUGAUAUCAAACAACACCUUAGAUUUCAUUGAAACACACUUAGAGGAUCUAACAACAUCUGAAGAUUGAUGGAUUUUUCUUUGCUAUAGAAGCCAUUUGGUCAUCUAUUUAUGGUUGUACAUAAUUUGAGAUGCAAGCUGUUGAUGGAUACUGCUUUUGUAUGCUUGUUUUGAUGCCUUAGCAAAAUAUCCACAAGACCAUAUGCUGUUUUAUUGUCUGUUUGUUUGUUUGGAGAUCUGAUGGCAUAGCUGAUGUAGGCUGGGCGGUCGAGCUAUGUCUCCGUAGGUAUACUUUCAACAGUUCCAGAUCCCGGUGCAAUGGCAGCAGCUGUGUGGUACAGAGCAGCAGCUUUGGCUGUGAAGGAUAAAUAUCGAGCUUCAUGAACUGAUGUAUCAAAAUUUUAUCCUCAUCUUCCAUUACAGUUCAUGUGCCCUUUUUGCUGCAGAUUGACCAAUCCAAGUUUUGUUUAUGAUUAAUACUACCAGAUGGCUUUCCGCAUAUGCAUUUUUUUUUGGGUGCAUAAAGCUGAGAGAGCAAGUUUCAUCCAUACAUAUCAUUGAAUAUUGAAUGUUUUCGGAAAAUGUAAAUUCAACAUCUAAAUAGAGUGAUUCAAAAUAAUAUUUAUGUUGUAAUUUGCAUGGGUCAAAUCUUGUCUUCUGAUGGCCUUCGUUGACAGGUGUGUCACUGCUUUAUUUCAAUAUAAUUGAGUUUUUCCGAAUCUUAUAUCAUGGAAGCAUAAUGUUGCAUGAUUUUAGGUCAAGUAUUUGAUUUGCUACAAAAUGAAACUGCGCUUCUGAUAGAACUACUAGCACCUAUUUGAAGUCUGAUUUUGCUGGAUGACCAUAUAAUACAUUCUAAGUUUAUCAGAAAGGGUCGAUUCUGGUAUGUUUUAUUGCUCCUUGGGUUAGUAGACAAAUCUUUUCAGAAAAAAAAAAAAAAACAAAAGAUGCAUCUUUGAACCUUCGGCAUUGUUUUAGUGGAGGAAAAGUUGAAUGAGUUUUCAGGUAUUAUUUAUUAUCAUUUUUUUUUCAUUUAUGUAAAGAUUAGGUUAUGAAUUACGACCGUGAAAAGAAAGUUUUCUGUUUGUUAUUAUCGAUUCAGAGAUGACAAAUGGGAUUUAGUUGAAUUGGUUUUGGAUUGAGUUUUAUCAGGUUCAAGUUAUUUUUUCAUAUUAAACUGAAUAUUAAUUUUUCAAACGAUACAAUAGUAUUAACAAUAAAAUAUCUUAUUUUUUUCUUAUUUUGAGCUAAAUUAUAUUAAGAUCAUCUUAAAAUAAAACAAUGUCGCAACGUAAUUUUUAAAGAUAUAUAUAAUUAAUAUCAUAUGUUCACUCUUAUCAUGUCAGGUCUUGUCAAAUCAUUGUAACCUUGGUUAGAGAUUAAUAAUUAACUUAAGGUAUUUUAAGUAUCUCAUAUUUAAAAGUAGAUAUUGAAUGCUCAAUCAUUAAUUUUAUUUAAAGUAGUGUCUUAAUAAGCUAUUUUUCUUUCUUGCAAACCAAAUAAAUUUCGUAGUUUCUCUUCUAAUGACUCUUUUGUCCAAAAUGAUGGCAAACGUUAUCCCUUUUUAUGCUGCAAGUACACUCUUGGGCCUUGGCGACAAAGUCCUUUGCUUUCUUUCUCUUCAUCUUCCUAGUUGACUUCUUUUUUAAUUUGGAAGCUCUUUUCUUUUGUGAUGAAUUUCUCAACUGUGUUCAACAUAUUCAACAAUGAGGGCAAGCUAGCUUCCAAUCUAUUAAUAAGAAAGUUCAUAAUGAAUUGUGAAAAGUUAUCUAUUAGAGAUUAUAGAACCAAGUCAACACAAAACUCAUGGUCCAUGACAAUUUAGACGCCUUGAUAGAACUAUCUUUUACCAUUUUACAAAAGAAAAGUUCCUUUGACGCCUCAUACCUUUCAAUGACUCUUCUUAUCAAAAAAGUUUUAUAAGUGUAAAAUCAUGAUUUGAGCAUCUAUAUUCUCGUGCUAUUUCUACAAUUCACAAGUCAUGCUAGCAAGUAUAUCACAUGUUGCCAAAUCAUCAUCAUCCUUAUGAGUCUACCACUUCCAAGACCUUAUCAUCGAUGCCUUCAACAAAGACUAGAGGAACAACAUUCUCAAGGAUAUAUGUUUGCUUUACAAUUGAUCCUUAUUUUGAAAUGACAAAAGUCAAAUGACCAAAAUAUGAGGGGUUAAAUGUAUUAAGACUUCACAAAAUCCCUUAAGCGUUUAAAAGAAAAAUGACUUGCGCAAAGACCCAAUAGGCAUAGCCCACCAGGCCCUAGCAAGCCUUCUUGUAUGAACCUGUACAUUAGUCCAUGUAUCAUCCAUACUCAUUUUUUAAGAUCUAUAAAUCAUAAUGUUCAAAUAAUUACUUCAUUGAAAUCAAUUCAUAAAAUCCAGGUAUAUACUCAUAAUGGUAUUCAUUAAUCGGAAUAUACAUAAAUAGUUUGCCAAACGAUUCUUAGCAAGUUACAUCCAGUUUACAUGUACACAUUCAAAGACUCUGACCGUCAGCGGAGUGACUAUGGGCGUGGGUGCUAACAUUUAGUAUCAUGACAAACCUAUCGAGCAAUGGAUAAGGAGGAGCACCUCGUCCUAAGAUCUAGUCACCUUUAACUCAAAGAACUUAAAACAUGAAGUUUAAAAAUGUGAGUAUAAACCCAGUGAGUGAACAUAAGAAGGGAACAAGCAGUGACAAGGAAUGGUUUAGAAAACAUGAUGCACUUAUUUAAAAACAAUGCCAUUUAGUUCAAGUUCUUAUUAAAAUCCCUCUAUUAAACCCUUGGUUGUAAAAUCAUUUAAUGAUGAAGGAACCGUAUUCAGCAUGAAAUUGCAAUUAUCCAAGUAAGGCAGUAUAAAUAGAAUGUUUCUCGUUGCAAUAAAAUCAAUUUGAAAAUAACGGUAAAUUUUCAAAAUUCAUCAUUUGCAUCUCACCCAGCUCAUGUGCAUCCCACCACAUCGUGCACAUAGCCGGACAGUAUCACCAUCCAUCUCCCUCACCACCGUCAUCACUGACAAGUGCACACUCACCCGCACAUGCAUGGUUGCAUUUGUCACACAAUGGUACCAUUUAUGACAUAGUAUAUAUAUAUAUAUAUAUAUAUAUAUAUAUAUAUAUAUAUAUAUAUAUAUANNNNNNNNNNNNNNNNNNNNNNNNNNNNNNNNNNNNNNNNNNUAUAUAUAUAUAUCAGCAUUAUACAAAAACAUAUGGAUUCAUCCUUUUACACAUUUCACAUUUCACAACAUCAAACAUUUUAUGUGUGAGACCUUGACCUUUAUAGACUCGUAAAGGGAAGUAUACGCGAUAUCCCUAAUCAGGGGUAAUUUCGUCAUUUCCUUAGUAAACCCAUAAAAGUAAGAUUUUUAAACAAUGUUAUGGCCUAAGUAGGCCUAAGGCAUAAAUGGAUGGUGAAAUUAGGGGUAAAAUGAAAAGGAAACAAAACUUUUGGUGAUUUUCACGGUAGGGGCAAAAUGGUCAUUUUUCACCUCAGGUUAAAAUUUUAAGUUUUCAUGAACUUGAGUAUGUCUAGACCAUUAUGGACCUUGUCCCGGUGUCAAAGGAGUAAAAAGAUUGCACAAAGGGUUACAUGAGAACAAGCUAACUCAUCAAGGGCAUUUUCGUAAUUUUAAGGGAAUGGAUAAGUUUGGCUUAUAAAUAUCUUUCUUCCAGCAGCUUCUUCUCCCAUUUUCUAGCAGCUUGUCUUCUUCUUCCUUCUUCCCUCUCACAUUUUUUUAAAACCUCCAUGGAAGCUUGAUAUGGAGCUUGCAUGAUUUUCUCUCUCUAGCUCUAGUUUUUAUACCUUUGAGCCCUCAUGACUAGAACCAUUGUAUUAUUUCACUCUCUCUCCUUAAAACCCUUGAAAAAAAAAAUCUUAUUUUCAUAUUUCUCUCACUAGUUGGGCGUUCUAGAGAGAGAAAGAAAAUUACCCAAUUGAUUUGGAAGCAAUUGGAAGAGAAUUUGACUACAAAGGAGCCCUAGGGUAAGUGAUGAAUUAAGCUUGAUUUUUAGCUAUGAAUAAUGGCUAGUAAUUGGGAUUAUGAGCUAUUUUAUUGUUGAGGAUGUUCAUUCAUUUUAUAGUGAUUUAGAUAGUGAACAUAGAUAGCCAUUUAAAGUGGCCAUUGAAGACUAGCUAAAAGAUAGCUUUUAGGGUUUAUAGUAUGUGAGUUAACAUAAUGGUGAUGUUAAUGUGAUGGUAGGUUCUAAUGAAGUCCCAUCCUUCCAAUUAGAUCAUUAGGGGAAUUAGAGUCAACUAAAGGCUCAACAAUAAAUCGGUGAAUGGAUUGCCUAUCAAAACUAUUUUGAGAAUGUGACUGUUUUGUACAAAGUGUUUGAAUGAUUUUAUACAACUUUUCUUAAAAAUGAGUGCCUUGGGAACAAGCUUUUGAGAAAUGGUUUAUGUUGUGACAUGUGACUAUUAUUGAUUCAUGCACUACCACAUUGUGUUGAUAUAUAUGUAUGAAUAUAUUGUUGUGUAAUGACAUGGACUCGACUCUGUGCGAGUAGGGAGUGCGCAUAAGCCGAGGAUGACCCGGUUGUGUGCUAGUAGGGAGUGCGCAUAACCCGGUGAUGACCCAACCAUGUACGAGUAGGGAGUGCGCAUGAGCUGGUGAUGAUGAUGAUGGGAUGGUAUGCAUGAUGAUGAUGGGUAUACGUAUACAUAUAUACAUAUGUAAAUAUGUGUGUUAUAGGAAAUUAAUGAGUAAUGGUAUAUGGUUGUAAUGCAUGUGAAACUUGACAUGUUAAAAGGUGAAAGAUUGUUAUACGUUUCAUGUUGGUUUGGACAUUUCAGCAAGGUGGGUUUUCUUUGGGAGAAAUGGAAAAUUUUCAUUGGUGCCCUGUAUCUCGCUGCACCGAGAAACUCUCGGGUUUGAGAACCUUCACCAGAACUGGUUCUCGCUGCAGCGAGAUAGUCACUAUAGCUUCUUGCUGCAGCGAAAAGGAAUCUCGUUGCAGCAAGAAACUUUCUGUUUCAUCAGCUGAAUUUCACUACAGUAAGAAAGAAUCUCGCUGCAGCGAGAAACCUUCUAUUUCUGGGUUACAAUUUCGCUGCAGCGAAUUUAAUCUCGCUGCAGCGAAAAACUCUUUGUUUUGUCUCCUAUCUUGUCCAAUUGCUGCCUUAUUUUUCACUUCUUUGCUACCAUAUCUGAGCAUGGACUUCCAACAUUAAGGACUAAAUGAGUUAAGUUUAAAAUGAGGAGGUUUAGUGAGAAACCCUCAGCCAGUUGAGAAACCCUCAUUCGGCUAAUAACUAAAUCCCAACGUUGCUGCAGCGAGAAUGCCUUUCCGCUGCAGUGAAGAUUCGUUGUCGUAUUUGACUUCCUUGCGUAUCAUUGAAGCUUUCAUUCUUCAAAUGGUUCGUUGUGUAUGGAUUCAUGAUCUUCAAAUGAUUAAUCAUUUAAGGGCUUGUUGAAGGGUUUUUAAUAUGAAUGGAACUAAAUUGCAUUGUUUUGAAACAAGUGCAUCAUGAUUUUAAAUUCUCCCUUGUUGUUAUUUGUUCCCUUCCUUGUUCACUCACUAGGUUUAUACUCACCAUUUUCAACUUCACGUUUUCAGAUCACGAGGCAGCCGGUAAUUAGGAUGAGGUGUCCUUGUAGACUUGUAUCUAUUUUUUGAUAGGUGUCUCGACAUUCAGUAGCUGUAUAUUCGUCCGAGUCCCUCCUCUGAAAGUUGAGUAUUAUUUUGUUGUGUAUAGACGAACCUAAUGUAAAUUGUUAGGAUACAUGUUGUAGACAAUGUAUAUACACUUGUUUAGUAUGCCAGUAUGAGAUGGCAAUGUGUAGUAUUAUUUUGAUUCUAAGUUAUGAAAUGUGACUUAGCAGUUUAUGAUAGAAUGAUAAACAUGUCAGAUUAAUAGGCUUGCUUGGGCUUAGUGGAUUACGUCCAUUGGGCCCAUGCAUCGAUCAUGGCCCGAAAAUUGGGUCGUGACAUUAUCAAGGGCUUGUUCCUAGGAAAUUUUAAAGCAAAAAUCGAUAAAAUUCCGAAAUGAUUCAUUGAAACAUGUAAACAUUUCCCCAAAACAUUUUGAAAUGCAAGUUCACUCAUCGGUACUUGUUGAACCUUUAAUCGACUCUAACUUCCCUAAUGGUCCAAAUGGGGUUGAGGGGCCUUGUUGGAACUUAUCAUGCACAAAAACAUCAUAGCCAAUCCAAUUCACAUUAAUAUCACUGAAAAAGCUGUUUCCCAUAUCAAGCUUCAAUAGCCCUUCUUAUCUAUCUUCCAAUUACCAUUUGAUUGGCUAUUUCGUUUCUCUACUUUAGUAACACUAGAAAUAGAUAAACAAUUUCAGCAAAUAACACAACUCAUAACUCUAAUUACUAGCCAUCAUCAACAACUUAAAACCAGUCCUAAUUCAUCACUCAUCUUAGUGGAUUGUAAUGAAAUUUCUUCCCAAAAGUCCUCAAGCUAACAUGAAACCUCUUUUUCUCUCUUUACAAAGUUCAACUAGUGAGAUAAAGUAUUGAAGAAAGACUUUUAAGGGUUUGUUUAAGGUAAAGGAGUAAAAGAGUAUGAAAAACCCUACAACAGGGUGUGUAAAGCAUGAAAAUUAAUGUUAGUUUGAGAGAGUGAUGGAAGCUUGAGAGAAGCUUUCAUGGAAGAGGAGAGAAACGUGAGAUGGGAGGAGGAAGAAGAAGAAGUUGCUGGAGAAAUGUAGAAGCUGCUAGAAAAGAUGAGAUCUUUAUAGUUAAAGCUUAUCUAAUUUCUCAUGCAAUUAUAAUAAGGCCCUUAACAAGGCCACUUAUCUUCCUCAUUUUCUUGUGCAAUCUCUUUACUCUUUUGACACUGGAAAAAGGUCCAAAAUCCUCUAAAAUAGGUCCCUUAAAUAGCCCCUAAAAGCCCUAGCUUCAAAAAUCCCAUAAACUUGUUAUUUGUAGAAAUUACAGUGAGGGUCGCGACUCUCAAUUUCUAAUGCCGUGGCGCUCAAAGGUUCUACCAAAUUUUGUUCCUCUAGUGCAGUACUUUCACUUAAACAAAGAUUUUGACUACCUUUCCACCAUAACUGGGCAAAGUGGUAAACAUUAAAGUUGUAGCCCUACCUCUUAGCUUUCUAAUGGUUCAAAAAUCAUGUCAUUUGGACUUGUGUAAUGGGAGAUAUACUUGAAAAACAAAAAUAUAUGCAAAUAGAGCAACAGUCCAUUGUGCACCUUUCUUCACCAAUUGAAAUUAUUUUUUAUCCUACUCCUAUAAAAACAUAAAAUAAAUAUAAAUAUCAUAAAACUAGCAUUGUUAGCCACCAUAUCAAGGUAUGGGGUACUACAAAAACAAUAGAGAAAAAAGCUUAAAAUGCUUAAGGUACCGAGACUUCUUGAGUAAGUAUCGAUAUAUCAAGCUUAAAAUGCCUCAAAAAUAGCCUAAGGAAGCAAAGGUAUUGAGACAUCAUGUGAAGGUAUCGAGACAUCGCUUCAGGAAUGCUAAUUUCCAAAGAGCAAGUCUGAAAGUAUCAAGACUCAAGCUUUAACGUAUCGAGACUUCACCACCAGGCUCUAAUUUCCAAAAAGAAAGUUCGAAAGUAUCGAGACCCAAGCUUCAAUGUAACAAGACUUCACCUCUAGGCUUUAGUUUUCAGAACAAGUGUCGAAGUAUCGAGACCCAUUGUUAAAGUAUUGAGACCUUAUUUUUAGAACUUCAAAUUCUAGAGAGUAAGCGUCCAAGUAUUGAGAUCAUCUUGUAAAGUAUCAAGACAUCAUCUCCAGACUUGAUUUCUAGAGAGCAAGCUACUAUGUAUCAAAGAUUCUUCAGUUUGGGAAAUGCUAAGGAUGAACAAUUAUCGAGACAUGCGAUAGAGGAAUCGAGACCUUAGUUGAUUCUGGCAAUUAAAGUAUCGAGACUUGUAUCAAAGGUAUUGAUACUUCACCUCAUACAAGUUAGACAAGACAUGAAUAAUGGCUACAUUCUCGAGCACACUUCCCUAAAUGGCUAUUUUUGAAUACCAACACAAAAGUAGAAGUCAAAGGCACAACUUUCAAAAGAAAGAACACCUAGAGAAGAAUUGUCAAGCAAAAGUGAAAGAUCAAACAACAAAUUCCUUAAGAAUCACUCUCUAAAUCAAGUGUUUGUUGACUCAAUAUUUUUAUCAUCCCUUAUUCAUUAAUGUCUAACUUCACUACUUAAGUGUGCAAUAUAAAGUUGACCCCUUCAAUAAAAUUAGUGCUUAAAGGCAAGAUAUAAUAAACAGGUUAAUCAGUUAAAGAGAGAAAGAUGAAAAGGGUUAGUGAAGACAAAACUUUAGUAAUUGUUUAACAAGAAGUCUUAAUCAAUUAAGGCAUGACAAGGUGACAAGUUAAAGCAAAACAAAAAAUCUUAAUUAGUUAGCACUAAGCUUAACUGAUUAAGAAGGUGUUGGAAAAAGGGCAAUAGAAGUGUGUUAAUUGGCUAAGGCAUGGGGUUAAUCAAUUGAGCACAAGACCUGAAAAACCUCUAAGCACCAAAAUUCAAAUUUGAAAUAAGUCUGACUAUUGAAGGAAGCCAAAAUUGAGAAAUUCAAAUUUAGAGAUUUUCUAACUUAUUAGAGCUGAUGUUAAUAGAUUAAAGCUGAAGGAAGUGAAGCUCCAAUCAGCUGAAGGGAGAGUUAACCAAUUAAAAUAAUCCUGCUAAAGUAGAGAACCUUGAAGACAAAGAUCUCUUAACCAUUUAGAGUCGGUUGUAAUCAGUUAAUGUAGAGUACAUAGCAACAAGAUAGCACAAGGUAGAGAAGCUGUAAUUGAUUAGAGUUGCCAGUAACCAGUUAGUCGAACUUUGUUUGCCCAAUUGAAACAUUAGAGGACAAAAUAACAGCUAGAAUGGCAUCAAAGUUCUUUAAAGGCUAGAAUAUGUCUUUAAUAGAAAAAUCUGACUCCCUAAGUAUAAAUUGAAGCUCCAAUGGUCAAAGAAGGUAGAUUGAAGCACAAAAGAGCCAUUUUGAGCAAAAAGCUAAAUAACCUUCACCAAAAACAUGUCUUUUAGUCCUAUUUCAGAAAAAAAGUGUUUAAGCUUGCUUGUAAUCGUUCCAGAUUUGUAAAGAUUUCUAAUUGUACUUUUUUUCUUCUUUUUCUUGAGAAUUUAGAGUGUGGGAAGCACUCUAAAAGUCAUUGUAAGGUAUUAGAGAUUGGGUUAGAAGCUUACCUUGUAAAAGCUUGGUGGAAGCUGUUAAUUCCAUUGGUAUAGGGAAGCUAGGAUUGAAAAUCCUCGAUUGGGAUAUCAAGGUAGUGGAUAUUGGUCAAGGGGACCAAACCACCAUAAAUCCUUGUGCAUUGUCCAUUUCUCUUUAUUUUUCCUUACUUGGGGUCUUUUAGCUACUACAAGCUUUAAAUCUUUCUUCCUUCAAUUGAUUAGAAGUUUUACAACUCAAAAAGAGUUGACCUUAAAAUUUUUAGUGCUAUUCACCCCUUUCUAGCACACCAACGGGACCAAUAGUGUUCAUCAUCUUUGCUUACUUAUGCCUUAAAUUCCUAUGCUUCUUUGGUAAGCCUUCAUUCUCUCAUUGUAUACUAAUUUAUUUAGCCUAUUUAGAGGCAUUUAAGUUUUCAUCCUAUCUUCUUUGUAACCCAUUGUAGAGGGUAUACCUUAACCUAGAAAGGUAAUGCAUUUGUAAAGUUUAUACCUUAGCCUAGAAAGGUACUGUAUUUGUGAGUGGUUAUGUGAAAUCUCACCUCGAGUAAAAGGAUAAGUUAGGAAAUCCUUAAGUCAGCAUAUAGAUUACAUAUUUUGAAUAUCAAACUUAAUUUUAACCUUCGAAAGAAUUCAUUGACACAUUUGUUGACUCCAUAUAUUUUUUAUGAUAACAAAACAUUCCUUAUUCAUUAAUGUCUAACUUUACUAUUUAACUGUUCAGGAUAAAGUUAAUCCCCUUAAUAAAAUUAGUGUAUAAAGGCAAGAUCACAUAAUAGAUAGGUUAAUCAUUUAGAGUGAGAAAGAAGAAAUAGGUUAGUGAAGACAGAACUUUAGUAACUGAUUAACAAGAAGCUUUAAUUAGUUAAGGCAUGACUGGGCGCCAGGUUGAAGCAAAAUAGAAAAAUUUUAAUCAAUUAACACUAGGCUUAACUGAUUAAGAAGGUGCUUGAAAAAGAAAAAUAGGGUUAUGCUAAUUGGCUAAGGCAUGGGUUAAUCGGUUAGAGCACAAGACUUGAAGAAGGUCCAAGUUGUUGGUCCCAAUAAUAUAUGCUAGAGGGGGGGUGAAUAGCAUAAAUCGGCUCUUGACAAGAUGAGGAACUAAUUUCCAACACAAAGAAAAUAAAAAUGGAGUAAACAAUGCACAGUAAUUUAGAGUGGUUUGGUCUAAGACCUACAUCCACUACCUUGAUUAUCCAACCAAGGAUUUUCCCUACAAAUCCACUAAGAUUCGGAGAAAUUCACAAGCUUUCACCAAGCUUUACAAUGGCUUUUACAAGGCUCAGCCAAAACCUUUUUCUCGGGCUAAACUAAAACCCAAAUUGGUUUUUCCAAGGCUCAACCACAGCCUACAACAAUCAAGCUGUCCCAAGCUUGAAUAACCCCUUAGAGUGACUUCCUCACUCUUAAGAAUUCAAGAAAAGUAGUAAAAGAAAGUACCUAUGAUCAUUGGUUGAUUUGAGUGGUACAAGAUUGAAUGCAAAUUACAAAUUCAAAGAAUAGGUGUUUAAGUGCAGACAAGUGCAGUGAAGAUUUUUUGGUUUUUCAACUCUCUAUAGCUCAAAUUUCAUUCAUGGUUUCUAAAAAAUUGUUUCUAAUUAUUGGUAGACCCUUUUAUACUUGAAGAAAUAUCUCUGAUGGUAGUUUGACAAUUUUCUAGCCGUUGGAGACAGUUGAGAGUCGGCUCUAGCCGUUACUCUGUCUUUUAGUGCAGAUUUCAAACUUGCAGGCAGAAUGCUCUUAGUCGACUACCUGAUAUCUUAAUUGACUAGGUUGUCUUUGUUUUUCAAACUCUUCAGCCCACCAUUUCUCCAAUUUGAAUCUUGGCCAACUAUCAUUCUUCCUUAUUCAACUAAUGAGCUUUCUCCUUGUUAAUCAGUCAUGUCUCAUUAUUUUUAUCUCGCUUUUUCUUUUAAUAUACACUUUGAAGGAUUGAUUUAUUAAUUUCAUACAUUAAUUUUCCUACACACUUAAGUAAAGGCAUUAGACACAAAUGAAUGGGAAUGUUUUACUAUCAUAAAAAACUAAUGGAGUAAACAAUCUCCCCAUUUUUUGAUAAUGACAAAACAUUCCUUGAUUCACAGCAUAAUGUCUUUUUACUCAUUUUAGUUUUCUACAGAAAAUGAGGAUUGCUCCCCCUAAGCAUAUGCUCCCCUUUAGUGUGUGCAUAUUUAUUCCAUCAAAUUUUAUUCUUGUCAUAUAGAAAAUGACAUUAUACAUUUAGAGAAUACAUAUGUGUAGAAUUUUGGGUGAUUUAUAGCAAUGAAUGUUGAUAGUUUUUCAUAGAAAAUUCAGCAAGGUCUGUCAACAGUAUAUAGUCAUCAGAUUUGAUCUAUUCCCUUCAUAAUUUAGUCAACACACUAUUCAAAACAUCCAUAAUUAUUUGCAAUCGCAAGUUGAUCAAUUAUCAGCAUACAACAGCAAUUAUCAACAUGCAGUUCAAUAUGGUUCAGCAGCAGAUUUUGUUAACAAUAGUUAAAAUAUCAUGGAUAGCAGAAUAUCAACAAACAUUCAAUUUUCAACAAACAAAUAUCAUAGAUAUAUCAGCAUUCAUGUCUCACACUACCAUAUAAACAACAAAAUUAAAAUUGAGUGUUCAAGUGCCACCAUGGCACAAAUAGCAGUUAAUCAAAAAAUGUUUCGAAAUUGCCCCUGAACUGUUUUUGCUUCCUAUCCCUUAUUUUUCUAAGUUCUUGCUCUUGAUUCAUUUCUGCUUUCUUUUCUUUUCUAAGUUCUUUCCUAGUUCCUCCACCUUAACAUUUUUUUUAAAUUUAUUCUCUAGUUCUUGCACCCCUGGUUUUGCCAUUCUACUCCCCCUUUUUGUUAGCAUCAAAUGAAGGGGCUUCUAUUCAUCUGAUGUGUUAGAGGGAGAGUAUUCAGUGACAUAAAAAGGGUUUAGAGGAAAAAGAGAGGGCUCUCAAAGAGGUGAUGACUUUCUAAGGGAAGGUUCUAGUGAGGACUUGUUUGAGACAGGGACUGGACUAUGAGGAAAAGAGGCUGAAACUAGUCUGGAUUUCUCUACCAACCUGGAAGACUUUUUUCUCUUGAGAAAAACUGUCUUGGUGGCCAUAGUCUUCUUUCCCUUGGUUGGUGGUUUUGCCUUUGUUGGUGGUGCUGCAGUGGCUUUUUCUUUCCUAGAUUUUGCCUUUACUUUAGGAGCUGAUGUAGGUUUCUUCCCUUUUCCUAUAUCUCCACCAUCCUUUUGAGUUUCUGUUCUAGCAGUGUCUUUUUCAGCUUGUCCCUCGUUAACCAUUUGAUGGAAGAUAUCCAUAAUGGAUAUUUGUUCUGAGUUGGGAGGGCAGGCCUGCUGUUUCUCUAUUUUUGAACCAACCACUUCAGUCCCUUGUUCUGAUUCAUUUUUGCUUUGAAGUUUCGAAGAGGGUGUCUUCGCUGGCUGAUCAACCCCUUGGUGAGAGUCUUCAGUCUGCAAAACGGGACUAGAAGAUUUGUAGGUGGAACCUUCAGCUUGAAUGCCAUGACUUCCACCAUGAGGAGCAAACUUUUCUGUUGGCUCAGUUGAACCUUCAGCACCUUGCUAUGCUGGUGCAUUGCUAGGUGUUGCAGAAGUGUCUGCAACCAUAAGUUCAGGUGGCUCCUUUUCUUCCUUCUUCAGGUCAUUUUCCAAUUUUGUAAUUUUCUCUUCAAUUUUCUGUAAUCUUUCUCCUUAGUCAGUAAGCUUCCCAUCGAUUCUCAUAAGAAGAUUAAAAAUAACUUCAUUUGAGAAUCUGAAUGGUGCUCCCUCUUGUUGAGCAAGCAAGCUGGAUUCUCUUCCAGGACCAGUCUUGGGGGUCUUAAUGAAUCUUUCCCCAUCGAGUAUAUACCCCAUUUUGAUCAAACUGCCAUAGUAAAUGGCUUGAUCUCUGGUUUUAACCAUGUCCAUUUCAUACCUCUUUGCCCAAACUCUUUUUUUCUGCACAAGAGAUGUGAUGACAUUCCCAUAAGGCAAGUUGACCUUAUCAAGUCUGCAAGCUCCUCUCAUUUUUUCAAUCAUAAACCUUCCUACAUUCAGAGAAACCCCAUUGAAGGCAUGUUCCAUUAGCCAAAGAUCCUGAAGGCUAAUGUAACUCAAACUUCCACUUCUGCCUUAAAUGUUUGCUACUAUAAAGUAGUGUAAAAUCUUAAUAUGGGGGCUGAUUAUCAAACUUGAAUUGCUCUUUGAAGAAUACUUUUCCUUUCUCCUGGUGAUGAUUUCCCAUAUUGAGGAUUAAUCAUACUUUUCUAGGAACUCAUACUCACCUUCUUCACACUCAAUUUUUAGUAAGCUUCAUAAAUCCUUAGUAGUGACAACAAAUUCUUUCCCAUUCUAAUAUACAUUCAGACCAUCUUCGACAUAAUCAUUAGAAUCAUCUAAUUCCUUUUCUUUUAAAGUAAUGCCAGAAUAGAAUUCCUUUACCAGACUUGCACUAUAGGAUCUAUUCUUUAAAGGUGCUAUAUCCCUUCAGUUUUAGUUCAUCAAAAUAGUCGGAUAAACUAGUCUGAAUCUCUAAGUUCUCAUCAAAACUCUUCCAGUCAAUAUAUUUGCCACAGGAAAUUGGUGCAUUCUCAAUAUUUUUUAACCUUAGUUCAUGCAAUCUAUUUCUAAACUUAGAAGACAAUGAACUAGUACCUUUCUUGAGUGCAGGUUCCUUGUCCUUCUUCUUUUCCAUUUUCUGCCUCUUAUUUUUUAGUUUCUCCGAUAUCUCUUUUACUGACGCAGACAUGAUUUUCUGUUUCUUCUUCAGACUUUUCAUUUCUGUCCCUUCUUCUAGUGGUCUCUUCCCUUUCUUCUUUUCUACUAUUUCUUUACUUUGUGGAGAUAUCCCCAUUUUGAUUCAAGAAUUUUUCUGACAGGGGUUUGAGUCAGUUUCAGAGAGGAAAGUGUAGAAAGAUGGGUUUCAGUUUCAGAGAAUGCAAGGGAGAUGGGUGAAGGCAGUUCAGUUUUUCAAAGGAAAUCGUCUAUCUUCCCCUUAAAUACCUGUCAGAUUUUUACUAUACAAAAUUUGAAAUGUUCCCUCUAAUGUUGGUUAUUUCCCCGACUGUUUUCCUUCUUUUCUUUUAUUACCUGAUAAACCUAACGUUUCUUUAUUUUACUUUUUUUUCUCUAAAUUGAUUGAGUCUUACUAUUUAAUGCUAACAGAAUACUCUUAGUUGACUAAGAUUUACCUUAGUUGACUAAUUGCAUUCUGUGUUUUGUGUAAGAGCCAAAAGUUUUCCUAGAAUUCCUUCAUACCAAUCAUCCUUAAAUUUCUUCUAAUUUCACAGAAUCUAUAUUCAUUUAGAGGAUUGGUAAAAAUGUCUGCUAACUGAUGUAAAGUGUUCACAAAUUCAAUCUUAAUAUCAUUUUUCAUUACAUGGUCUCUAAUAAAGUGGUGUCUAAUCUCAAUGUGCUUUGUCCUAGAGUGCUGCAUAGGGUUUUUUGAUAUAUUAAUUGCACUUGUAUUAUCACAGUAUAUUGGUACAUUAUGCAUAGUCAUUCCAUAGUCUUUCAGUUGUUGUUUAAUCCAAAGAAUUUGUGCACAGCAGCUACCUAAUGAUAUAUACUCUGCUGUAGCUGUAAAUAAAGCUACUGAAUUUUGUUUCUUGCUGGACCAUGACACAAGCAUGUUACCUAGAAAUUGACAUGUUCCACUGGUGCUUUUCCUAUCAGUUUUGCUGCCAGCAAAGUCAGCAUCUGAAUAUCCAACCAAACUAAAAGUUGAUUCUCUAUAAUACCAUAUGCCUAAAGUUUGAGUUUCUAAGAGGUAUCUAAAGAUUCUCUUAACAACUGUUAGGUGUGAUUCUUUAGGUUGUGACUGAAAUCUAGCGCACAAACACACACUAAAUUGAAUAUCUAGUCUGCUUACUAUUAAGUAAAGUAGUGAACCAAUCAUACCUCUAUAUAUCUUUUGAUCUACAUUCUUUUCUUUUUCAUCAAGAUCAAGUCUUGUGGAUGAACUCAUUGGUGUUGAGAUUGGUUUCAGUUUCAGCAUAUCGAACUUUUUGAGCAUAUCUUGAGUGUACCUUUCUUGGUUGAUGAAGAUCCCUUCCUCACUUUGCUUAAUUUGAAGACCAAGAAAGUACUUCAACUCCCCAUCAUGGUCAUCUCAAAUUCACCCUGCAUUUUUUUAGCAAAAUUCUUGCAUAACACCUCAUAAGUUGCACCAAAUACAAUAUCAUCCACAUAUAUUUGUACAACAAUUAAAUCAUUUAAAUAUCUUUUAAUGAAUGAUGUAGUAUCGAUGCUACCUCUAAUAUAACCUUUUUCAACUAAAAAUUUUGAAAGCCUUUCAUACCAAGCUCUAGGAGAUUGUUUCAAUCCAUACAAGGUUUUAUGAAGUUUGAAAACAUAAUUUGAUUUUUCAACAUCUUCAAAACUUAGAGGUUGUUCAACAUACACUUCCUCUUGAAUGAUUCCAUUUAAAAAUACACUUUUUACAUCCAUUUGGUACAAUUUGAAGUUCAUAAAGCAUGCAAAAGCUAACAACAACCUUAUGGCUUCAAUUCUAGCUACAGGUGCAAAAGGUUUCAUCAUAAUCUAUUCCUUCCUCUUGAUUGUAACCUUGUGCUACUAAUCUAGCUUUAUUUCUAACUACAUUUUCUUGCUCAUCUACCUUAUUUCUAAACACCCAUUUGGUGCCAACAAUAGGGUGAUUUGAAGGUCUAGGUACCAAUGACCAUACACGGUUUCUUAUGAAUUGAUUAAGUUCUUCUUGCAUGGCCAUUAUCCAACUUUCUUAUUUUUCAUCUUCUUCAAAGUUUUUAGGCUCAAUUUGUGAUAUAAAGGCUGAAAACUCACAAGUUUCUCUUGUUGCUUUCCUAGUUCUAACUCCUUGUGAAAUGUCACCUAUUAUUUGGUCUUGUGGGUGGUCUCUUACAAAUCUCCAACUUCUUGGAAAAUCAUCAUGCUGAUUUUUUGUUCUUUGCAGAUUUUCUAGAGGUGGAGUUUCAUUUUCUCUUCUAGGUGAGCUUUUUUUCAAUAUUUUUAUUAUUUUCUAAGCUCAUUUCUUCCAUUUGUCUUUCUAGGAUUUCUACAUCAUCAUCAUCAUCAUCAUAAAUUUCUUUUUGUAAAGCAUUUGACUCAUCAAAACCUAUAUGGAUUGAUUCUUCUACUGUUAGAGUCCUUUUGUUAAAAAUCCUAUAGGCCUUUGAGUUUAAUGCAUAUCCUAAAAAUAUUGCUUCAACACUCUUUGCAUCAAACUUCCCUAGGGGCUGUUUUCCAUUAUUCAAUACAAAGCACUUACAACCAAAGCUCCUUAGGUGAGAAAUGUUUGGUUUCCUACCCUUGUAGAGUUCAUAAGGUGUCUUAGAUAACAUUGGUCUUAUUGAGACUCUAUUAAGUAUAUAUGCUGCUGUGUUCACUACCUUAGCCCAAAAAUACUUUGGUAGCCUAUUCUCACAUAGCAUAGUCCUAGCCAUUUCUUUUAAGGUACAGUUUUUACUUUCUACAACUUCAUUUUGAUGGGGUGUUCUAGGUGCAGAGAAGUUGUGAUCCAACCCUUUUUCACUUUCAAAUUCUCCUCCAUGAUCACUCCUUAUGCUAACUAUGGUUAGCCCUUUUUCAUUUUUUACUUUCCUACAAUGACUUAUGAAAGCUGAUAAAGCAUCAUUCUUGUGAGUAAGAAAAUAAAUCCAAGUAUAUCUAGAAUAGUCAUCAAUUAUUACAAAGCCAUAAGAUUUUCCUCCUAAGCUAGUUGUGCUUAUUGGACCAAAUGGAUCAAUAUGCAGCAUUUCAAGAGGUCUAGAUGUCAAGCCCAGCUCUACAAUAUGUUUAUUAUGUCAUUCCUACAUAAGAAUGCAUGUUUGCUUACUUGGGUUCCUUGAAAAUCGUUAAAGGACGAUAAUGUACCAAAUGGUACAAUUAAGUUGAAUCAAGCCUUGAACUAGUCCAAAUAGAGAUUUUAAGAUGAAAUUGAGAAUUUUAAAACCAUAGAAUGACUUAAAAUGGUGAUUCGGAGUUCGAGGACCAAUUUGGAGUCAAAUUGGAAUUUUCAUGACUUAGGGGUAAAAUGGUCAUUUUGCUACUUGAGGUUAAGAUGUGAGUGUUGGAUGAAAUUUUUGACUAAGAUUGAUCAUUUGGAGUAUAAUUUGAGUUUGAGAAGUAAAGAAUUUUAAUUCUGGCAUUUUUCGAGCAUAAAGGGCAAAAUAGUCAUUUUACGACCCUAGGGGCAAAAUUUGAAUUUUUCACCACCCAACACUUGUCUAGCACAUGAAUUUCACCCAUUAUUAUUAUUGAUAAUUGAGGAAUUUUAAAUGGUGAAGAGAGAUUGCUUAAUAAGUAAGUAUGACACAUGGACAAAUGGAAUGGUGACACAUGGCAAAUUUUUGUCCAUUUAAUAUUUUCCUUUAUAAAGCCAAUUUGAACUCUUCCACAUUCAUUCUUAUGGCCGGCCAAAGCAAGAACAAAGGAAGAAAAGAAAGAACAAAAACCCUAGAGUGAAAAUUCAAGAGAAAAUUGGUGGAUUUCAAGUAAUCAAGCAAUCAAAGGUAAAAUUUCUUGAUUUUGACUUGUGAUCUACCUUUCCCAUAGAUUCUUUUGCAUUUUCCAUGGUUGAAUCACAUGAUUUCAUAAUGAAUCUCUUGCUAGAUGAACACUUAGAGAGAGAUUUUGAUGGUUGUUUUGGUUAGAUUUUAAGAUAUUCUAGUGUUUUUAGUUGAUUAGUGAUGUGUAGCAUGAAAAUCAAGCAAGAAAAAUUCAUGUUCUUCCAUAACCCAUCAUUGGCCGAAUUUUCCAUGUAGAGUGUGGAUGGUGGAUUUGAUUUUAUUUCAAGUGAAUUGGUUAAGAAAUGAUGAAUUACGGUGAGAAAAUCAAGUAGAAAAAAUCAUAGUAUUGAUGCACCCACCAUGGCCGAAAUUCCCAAGAGAAAAUGUGAAGAUGAUUUUGCCAUAUUUCAAGUUAUUUAAUUUGUGUUUGAUGAUUUGGAGUAUUGGGAGAAAAAUGGAAUUAUUUGGAGUUGAAUUGGACGUAUUGGCCAAUUAAUCGGGUGAUAGAUUGAAUUAGGCCAAUACCAUUUUAUUUAGGUACAUAAUUGAAUUUAUAUUGAACACCGUAUUUAGAUAGUUACCCAAGUAUUUCACAUCCCAUUUCAUGAAUUAGUAUAAAGCCUGAAUUGGUUUUACAACGGUUUAGCACAAAUGUAGUAAAUGGCUUAUUGUGCAUUAUGUCUAGGUAGUGAGUUUUUUGGCAAAAGUAAAGAGAUAGUACCUGAGGAUCAAGAAUCGGAGUACUCGGAAUUCGAUUUUCAUUACAAUGAGUAACCUUACUAUCAUCUUAAUUAUCUAAAGUGGUUUUUAUCCGAUUUUGUGAUUUUAUGGAAAAUGAGUUAAAUGGUAAAUCUUUGUGUUUUGUAAUUAAAAUGUGAUUUAAUGAAAUGANAUUGUCUUGAAAUUGAAUGAUUUGUUUAGAAAUAAAGUAAUUGGAGACUGUUUUCAUGUGUUGUAAAUUCAUGGUUUGAAUCGAAUGGCUGAUGACAAUAUUUGCAUGAAUGGCUGAAUUAGUAUUUGUGUUGAGAUAUAUGAACUCUGUAUUUGGCCUUGAAAGGCUAGAUUGUGAUAUAAUUGCCAUGUCAUGCGGUUGAAAUUUUAUUGAAUUGGUGGGUUUAGCUUGCUGCAGUGGGCGGGUUCCGUGGACCAGCCUAUUAGAGGGGCACGGUAACCCUGUUAUAUUCUUACGUCGGUAGGAGAGGCAUGUAGGGUAACACUUGAGGUACAACUUUAGAGUUCACUUCAUGGUAAACCACCAUGUGAGGGUGAAAUCAGCCAACGCCAAGGAACGGCUAUGUUUUCAAAAUAAAAACAUGAUUUACGCGUACAUGACUUUUUAAUAGCCUUGGCGGACUCGGUUGGGAUAGCCCUAGGCCAAGGUAUCCCUGACAACCCGAGUAUGAGAAUGAUUUUGGCACAAGCCAAAGUGUUAAGAAAUUCAUAAGCCAUGCUGAUUACUUGAUUUAUAUGAAUUGAUUUUAUUUGGUUGAAAUAAUUUGAAAGGUGAUGAAUUACAGUAUGAUGAUUUAUUUUAAUCUGUCUCCAUUUACUCAGCUUUAGAUAUUUUAGAUGGUAUUUGUUUACUCACUGGGAUUAUAUAAUCUCACCACCCUCCUUUCCACCCAUUUCAAGCUCAGGAUAGUCGGUAAAUAGCUCAUUUCGUUGAGGGCUACAAUUAGACUUGCAUCCUCAAAAACUGUAGGUUUACCGCUUUUGAUACUUUUGGUCGUUCGUGGGCCCACGUGUCACUGUAAAUUAAAUCUUAUGCUUUGGUUAUCUGUAUUACAAUAUGUAUGAAUUUAUUUAGCUAUUACGCUACAAAAAUUAUUUGCCGGUAACUCUAUAAAUAUUGUUUUAUAAGAAAAUAGAAUAUUUUAUUGAUUAUUUUUAUUAUAUUCAAAUAGUUAUAGUUUCACUUUAAAUGAAUGUUUUAGACAUCUAAACUUAUUUUUUAUUAUGAAAUAUGUGUUUUCCACUCGCAUACUACAUUUUUAGCUUGUUUCGAGAUUUUCGAGGAAAAAUGACCAAAAUGCCCUUGUGAGAAAAAAAUUAUUUUUCUAUUGUUUUGAUUUGGAAGUAGUUUAUAAUAUCUCAAAACAUGAUACUUAACAACUGUUGCUCACAGGGGAGGUGCAAAAACUUAUAUUAAAGCCUUGCGAGGUUCCGGUUGGUAUUUCGGGCAAUGAAUGUCUAUCGGGAAGUCGUGGCGGUUGUCACGGGCUCGAGAGGAGUACAGGGUCAUGAAAAUUACAUUGGUAUCAGAGCUUUUGGUUUUAAACAUCAGAGCUUUUGGGUUUAAAGUUGUUUUAAAGUUAUUUUAAAAAUUUACAGUGUCAAUGUAGCCCCAAGUUAAGUUAGGUUAGGUUGAAGAGAAUGCAUGCACUUAUAUAUAGAAACCUACCUGCUCUGGUGAUGCGUAAAUAAUUAAGAAAUUACUGCUUGAUUGCGUAUAGGUUUUGAGGUACGCUGGUUGCACACACCAUGUCUAGGAGAGAAGGUAGUCCCGAUGCCUCUCAUAGUAUUAGCGAAGGAUCGCUAGAUUCUUCUGCUAGGAGCCAAUGGCAACCCGAACCAAGUAGUCCAGAAAGUCCUGAUAGUAAUGACAUUAAAGUAAGCAUGAGAAAUUCCCUUUUGAAAGAAUCUAGGGAAUACGCUGAAGAAAGGGGAAAAAUAAUGAUAGCUGAAGGAGAUUAUCAUCCUAGGAAGGUACCUGUACCCGUUGUUUGACACGUUCCUCCAGGUUGUGGGAUAAAUGUAAAGGAACAAGAGGAAAAGAAUAAGGAGAAAAUAACUAUUGCAAAUUAUCCCCGUAGGAAAGUGAAUGUUGUACGACAUUUUCCUCCUGGAUGUGGAAUAGGUGCUGCACUUGUGAGUAUUGAAGAAUACAAGAGACUACAACAAGCUUGGAUUGAGGAACAAAGGAGAAACUCUCAGGAGGAGGAGGACCUGGAAGAGGAUCCUAAGGAUACUUAAUACCUUUGUUGAAGUUUGUAUCACUGUAAGUCUAGGCAAGUGUCGUUUAAGGGAAGAUAUAAUAGUUAUCUGUACAAAGAAGUUAAUAGUUUGGACUUUAAAGUGUAUGACUAGAAUGUAUUAUAAAAUAGAUGUUUAAGUGACAGGAGGUAUAUGGGAACUUUUGGUGGGACAGAAGUGGAUUAGCACUAUGACUAUUAAGGAAAGAUAUUUAUCUUAGUGGCAAGGUUGAUCAUCUUAGAUAAUUAUUGAAGACUGAUAUGGAAAGUCAUUAAUGAUUCAAGCAAUUACCCUAAUUAACAAUGAAUGUAUUUUGCAGUACUAAGAAAUGGAUACCGAUUAACAUGAUGAACUUUUGGAGUGAUAACCCUAGAUUUUGACGAGAUAUAAAAAGCCAUUUGAAUUGAUGAUGUUUGCUGAAAAUUAUUACUUAUCGUAGUAUGUGAGUUUUUGAUAUGAUUCCGAAUGCAAAGCUAAAUAAAUAAAAUUCUGGUUUAUGGGACAAAUUGUAUCAGAGAAGAUGAUUCUCGAGCAAACACAUUGAACUAGGAAAUUAUGUUAUAAUUAGUGAGUUCAGUGUGUUCUAAUUGCACAGGAUAGUGGGAGACAGUGUGGUAAGAUUAACAAUCAAUCAUGGAGAUGUGAAAUUGGGAAUCGUAAUUGUAGUUACAAUUCGAAAGGAUAUGGAAGAAAUCAAUCAGGCUCUAGAUGACAUUUUGAGCGAUUAAUGUGAUAAAGUCAAAGAUUGUAAGCUUGAGGAUGAAGGAAGUACAAAAUGAUGCCAUAACAUUAUCGAAAAAUAAUGUAAUACAAAUAUGGUCCAUUAGAGAUAAAUGAAGGAACUUGAAAAAGAUAAAUUUUUGAUUAAUAAGGAUUGUGAGUAUAAGUGUAGUGAAAGAUGAAUUAUUUUCAUGGUGUUUGUGCUGGAAGUUAAUAAACUAUUAGAGUUAUAAGACAAGGAAGAUGAUCAGAAAUGGAUAAUGAAAAUAGUGGGAUACCAUAAAUAAUAAGUAAUUAUGUGUAUGAUGAUGUAUAUAUUGUGAAUUCAUUACACCAUAUGGGAAAGAUGUCCUAAGGUGGGACUUGAAAUAUGUGGAUUUUUGGAUAUGCUCUAGGAGGGAACUUUUGCAUCCUAAAUUCGAAAUAUCUUGAUCUUAUAACUGUAAGGACGAGAUGUAAUAAUUAAGUGAAUUAUCCACUUUAUAAAUGUAAUUGGUUAAGAACCCUUUAUGGCUAGAAAGCAUGAGCAAAUUGGGAGUGGCAUGAAAAUGAAACUCACGAGUUGAAGAAUGGUCAUUGGUUUUGAUGCUAAGCUUUGUUAUUUGGAGUCUUAAGUGCAUUGGGGAAGUAAUAAGAUAGAGAUGAAGAGUGAAUUAAAAAGUUUCUUUAUUGCCUUAUAGAUUGGCAUGUAAGAGAAAGAAAAGUUAGAGAGUUUUUGAGAUGGCUACAUAAAAAAUAAAUUAACAUGUGGACUGUUAAGAUGAAUAAUAUGUUGACUGAAGUCAAAUCUUAAGAAAUAAAGAAGACAAGAGAUUAAGCCUUGUUAAAGACUAAAGAGAAAGCGAGUGAAAAGUUAGAUGAAUGUAUGAGAUAUUGAUAAGAGAUGUCAAUACCAAGUGAUGAAAGUGUGAAUAAAGAUUUCAAGGAUGAUAUAGCAAAUGAGUUUAUAUAGAAUAUUGUUAUGAGAAUUUACAAAUCUUGUCUUGACUUUGUUGAAAGGAAAGGAUUAGUGACAACACAAGUAAACUACGUGGUAUGCUAGAAACCCUUGGAGAUAAGUUGAAGCAUGAGUAGUUAAGCAUGCAUUUAAAUAUUUUGGUGAGCAAGUGCAUGCCUUUAUGGAAAUGAUAUACUUGGAGUAUGAAAGAGCAAAUAAGUGAUUAAGAGUUUCAAGAAUGUUUAAACACCGUUGAGAAAGAAUUAUAAGUUAUACGUGAUGAGUAUAAGAUGUGUGGUUUUGAAACUUGCUAAGGAGCCAAACGGCUAAGUCACGAGUUAAGUGAUCACCUGCUGUGAGACAUAAGUUUAAGAUAGAUAUCCCCAAGGAAAUACUCAAGAUAAGUUCUGCCAUGGAUCUCGUGAAAGCAAGCACUAAGUUAUGUGAUCAUAAAAAAGAAGCCAUAAGUUGAGAGUAUACUUGUAUUGACAUUGAAAAGUACUUGAGGAGGACAUAGUUUCAAGAUUUACAAUUUCAAGUACAAUUUGUAAAUUGGCUAAGGGAGAAUGAUGUUAUGUUCAUACGAAAGAGUGGGACAAAAGAUGAUUAAAGUUAACCUUGAUAAUGAAGUCGGAUAAUGAAACUUUCCUAAUAUAUUAUGGAAAUUGGAAUUCGAAAAUGCUUGAGGCAUACAUGAUUCAAAUGAGUCUGAGUUUUAAGUGACAAAUCAAUAUCGGAAUGCAAGAAGGAUACAAGGUAAUGUAGAGGCAAGAAGGAUAAUCGAGGAAAAAGGAUGACUCUUAGGAAUUGUGGUAUUGCAUAAGAUGCAAUGAUCAAGUUAAGAUAAAGCUUUGAGGCAUCAAUGGGAUUAUAACGCAUACAUGCAUAAUAGAUUAUAAUUCAAUGGAGAUGACAUUAUGAUGCAAUGAUAUAUAGUAUAAGGAAACUUAAGCAUAUAAUUGGAAAUGAUAAGAAGAGAGUAUAAGUAUGUAAAUGAUGUGGAACUAUGCACAGGCAUAAUGAGAAUUUGUAUGAAUUAUGAAGAUUAUUCUAUUGAAUCUUGGUUAUGGAUGAAUGAAUGAAAGUCGAGAAAUUUGAUAUGAAAUGAAGUAAUAAGAUAGUGAUUGGUAUACCUAAAUAAGUAUAAAAUGCAAUCUAAAUUGGUAUGAUUGAGAUGGAGUUAUGGUUCAAGUUUAAUGAUAGUCAUAGAAGCAUGCUUGGUGUCUCGAUAUAAGAGAUCAUAAUUGUGAAGGUUACUGUUGAUAUGAUUUUAAAGGAUAAUAAUAGACAUAAGUGAAGUACUCGAGUUGAAUUGGAGGUAAAUGAGGUGAACAAAUCGAAAUUCCCUAUAAAGGGGAGGACAUAAGAAGUCGAGCAUUAGAUGCUAAAACAAUGCCCUCACUUUUUCUCUGAGUUUAGUAAAUGAAAUUUUGAGGUCAAAAUUUUAUUUUAAGGGGGGUAGUUCUGUCAAGCCCAGCUCUACAAUAUGUUUAUUAUGUCAUUCUUACAUAAGAAUGCAUGUUUGCUUACUUGGGUACCUUGAAAAUCGUUAAAGGACGGUAAUGUACCAAAUGGUACAAUUAAGUUGAAUCAAGCCUCGAACUAGUCCAAAUAGAGAUUUUAAGAUAAAAUUGAGAAUUUUAAAACCCCAUAAUGACUUAAAAUGGUGAUUAAAAGUUGGAGGACUGAUUUGGAGUCAAAUUGGAAUUUUCAUGACCUAGGGGCAAAAUGGUCAUUUUGCUACCCGAGGUUAAGAUGUGAGUGUUGGAUGAAAUUUUUGACUAAGAUUGAUUAUUUGGAGUAUAAUUUGAGUUUGAGAAGUGAAGAAUUUUAAUUGCGGCAUUUUUCGAGCAUAAAAGGCAAAAUAGUCAUUUUGCCACCCCAGGGGCAAAAUUUGAAUUUUUCACCACCCAACACUUAUCCAGCACAUGAAUUUCACCCAUUAUUAUUAUGGAUAAUUGAGGAAUUUUAAAUGGUGGAGAGAGAUUGCUUAAUGGGUAAGUAUGACACAUGGACCAAUGGAAUGGUGACACAUGGUAAAUUUUUGUCCAUUUAAUAUUUUCCUUUAUAAAGCCAAUUUGAACUCUUCCACAUUAAUUUUUAUGGCUGGCCAAAGCAAGAACAAAGGAAGAAAAGAAAGAACAAAAACCCUAGAGUGAAAAUUGAAGAGAAAAUUGGUGGAUUUCAAGUAAUUAAGCAAUCAAAGGUAAAAUUUCUUGAUUUUGACUUGUGAUCUACCUUUCCCAUACAUUCUUUUGCAUUUUCCAUGGUUGAAUCACAUGAUUUCAUGAUGAAUCUCUUGCUGGUUGAACACUUAGAGAGAGAUUUUGAUGGUUGUUUUGGUUAGAUUUUAAGAUAUUCUAGUGUUUUUAGUUGAUUAGUGAUGUGUAGCAUGAAAAUCAAGCAAGAAAAUUCAUGUUCUUCCAUAACCCAUCAUUGACCGAAUUUUCCAUGUAGAAUGUGAAUGGUGGAUUUGAUUUUAUUUCAAGUGAAUUGGUUAGGAAAUGAUGAAUUACGGUGAGAAAAUCAAGUAGGAAAAUUCAUAGUAUUGAUGCACCCACCAUGGCUGAAAUUUCGAAGAGAAAAUGUGAAGAUGAUUUUGCCAUAUUUCAAGUUAUUUAAUUUGUGUUUGAUGAUUUGGAGUAUUGGGAGAAAAAUGGAAUUAUUUGGAGUUGAAUUGGACAUAUUGGCCAAUUAAUCGGGUGAUAGAUCGAAUUAGGCCAAUACCAUUUUAUUUAGGUACAUAAUUGAAUUUAUAUUGAACACCGUAUUUAGAUAGUUACUCGAGUAUUUCACAUCCCAUUUCAUGCAUUAGUAUAAAGCCUGAAUUGGUUUUACAAUGGUUUAGCACAAAUGUAGUAAAUGGCUUAUUGUGCAUUAUGUCUAGGUGGUGAGCUUUCUGGCAAAAGUAAAGAGAUAGCACCCGAGGAUCAAGAAUCGGAGUACUUGGAAUUCGAUUUCCAUUACAGUGAGUAACCUUACUAUCAUCUUAAUUAUCUAAAGUGGUUUUUAUCCGAUUUUGUGAUUUUAUGGAAAAUGAGUUAAAUGGUAAAUCUUUGUGUUUUGUAAUUAAAAUGUGAUUUAAUGAAAUGAUUUUAUAACAUUGUCUUGAAAUUGAAUGAUGGUUUGAAAAUAGAGUAAUUGGAGACUGUUUUCAUGUGUUUUAAAUUCAUGGUUUGAAUCGAAUGGCUGAUGACAAUAUUUGCAUGAAUGACUGAAUUGGUAUUUGUGUUGAAAUAUAUGAACAGUGUAUUUAGCCUUGAGAGGCUGGAUUGUGAUAUAAUUGCCAUGUCAUGCAGUUGAGAUUUUAUAGAAUUGGUGGGUUUAGCUUGCUGCAGUGGGCGGAUUUCGUGGACUAGCCUAUUAGAGGGGCACGGUAACCCUGUUAUAUUCUUACUUCGGUCAAAGAGGUGUGUAGGGUAACUCCCGAGGUACAGCUUUAGAGUUCACUUCACACCAAAUCACCACGUGAAGGUGAACUCAGCCAACGCCAAAGAACGACUAUGUUUUGAAAUUAAAAACAUGAUUUAUGCGUACAUGACUUUUUAACAGCCUUGGCGAACUCGGUUGGGAUAGCCCUAGGCCAGGGUAUCCUUGACAACCGAUUAUGAGAAUGAUUUUGGCACGAACCAAAGUUUUAAGAAAUUCAUAAGCCAUGUUGAUUACUUGAUUUAUAUAAAUUGAUUUUAUUUGGUUGAAAUGAGUUGAAAGGUGAUGAAUUACAGUAUGAUGAUCUAUUUUAAUCUGUCUCCAUUUACUCAGCUUUAGAUAUUUUAGAUGGUAUUUGUUUACUCACUGAGAUUAUAUAAUCUCACCACCCUCAUUUCCACCCAUUUCAGGCUCAGGAUAGUUGGUAAAUAGCUCAUUUAGUUGAGGGCUACAGUUGGAUUUGCAUCCUCAAAAACUGUAGGUUUACCGCUUUUGAUACUUUUGAUCGUUCGUGGGCCCACGUGUCACUAUAAAUUAAAUCUUAUGCUUUGGUUAUCUGUAUUACAGUAUGUAUGAAUUUAUUUAGCUUUUACGCUACAAAAAUUAUUUAUCGGUAACUCUAUAAAUAUUAUUUUAUAAGAAAAUAUAAUAUUUUAUUGAAUAUUUUUAUUAUAUUCAAAUAUUUAUAGUUUCACUUUAAAUGAAUGUUUUAGACAUUUAAACUUAUUUUUUAUUAUGAAAUAUGUGUUUUCCACUCGUAUACUACAUUUUUAGCUGGUUUUGAGAUUUUUGAGGAAAAAUGACCAAAUCAUCCCUGUGAGAAAAAAAUUAUUUUUCUAUUGUUUUGAUUUGGAAAUAGUUUAUAAUCUCUCAAAACAUGAUACUUAACAACUGUUGCUCAUAGGGAAGGUGCGAAAACUGAUAUUAAAGCCUUUCAAGGUUCCGAUUGGCAUUCCUGGCAAUGAAUGUCUAUCAGGACGUCGCGACGGUUGUCACGGGCUCGAAGGGAGUAUCGGGUCGUGACACUAGAUGUUGACACAAUCUUCUUAGACUUGAAAGAUGUUCUAACUUUUUUUCCUAGUUGGCAAGCAUCACAUUUUUUGUCACUUUCAAAUUUUAUAUUUGGCAGCCCAACAACUAGAUUUUUCUUAAUUAGUUUUGACAUGGUACGCAAGCUUACAUGUCCUAGUCUCCUAUGCCAUAACCAACUAUCACUAUCAGCAUUUGCAACUAAACAUAUUUCAUCAUUUAUUUCAAGAUCCUCAAGAAAUAUCACAUACAUAUUUUUCAAUCUCUUUCCUAUAAAUGAGACUUUGUUUGUUCCUAUGUCAAUUACUUCACACUUAUUUGAAUCAAAACAUACUUUAAAUCCUUUGUCACAUAACUGACUAAUGCUUAAUAAAUUAUGCUUCAAACCCUUAACUAACAACACAUGAAUGAUUUGAGUUUGGGAGUUCUUACCAACGGUACCUAUCCCAUAAAUUCUACCUUUUGAAUCAUCACCAAAGGAUAUGGUACCUCCCUUUCUUUUGUCUAGCUAAGCAAAUAACAUUUCAUCUCCUAUCAUGUGCCAUAAGUAGCCAUUGUCCAUGCACCAAGGCUGCUUCUUCUUGAGUUGAGCUCUUGAAUAUGUCUCCUUUAAGUGCAGCUCAACCUAAAAAAUAGUAUUUCAGUUUUUCUUUAUAGGUACCCAUACUUUGAUGGGUCUUUGCGUGUUAGUUACAAUAUAGGAUCCUUUAGGGACCCAAACUUUUCUGAUUUUCUGCACAUUUGUUUUCUUAAAAUAGUCAUAUGAUAAAUGACCAUGUUUACCAUAAUUAUAACAUUUAGGUAGUGCAUUAGUAAAAUUUUUAUUAUAGUACACAUCUCUUUUUGAAGAUUCAUUUUUCAAACAUUUGAGAGCUGUGUUUUCAUCAAGUAAUUUUUGCAAAGCAUCAUACUUAUUAUCCAACUCUAAUUUUAAAACUUCAAAGUCUAUUUUUGAGUGUUCUAACUCAAUUUGCAAGAUAUUUCUUUGCUUAAAAAUAGAAUUGAACUCUUGUCCCAUUUUUUCCAAAUCAUUUUCAAUAGAUGCAGCCUUUCUCUUUAAUGUUUUGUAUUUUGGAAAAAGCUUUUCAAAUUCAUUACAGAGGCUGUCAUAUUCAUCCUGUAUAUCAUCAAUGGAAAUAUCAUAGGGGGAUGAGGAUACCUUGAUUUCAUCCUCUUGUGCCAUCAAACAAAUGUUUGCUCUUUCCUCAGAUUUUUCAUCUUCAGCUUCAGAAGUUGAUGUGUCACUGUCAGACCAUGCAGCAGCUACCAUUGCUUUCUUGGAUUUCUUAUUUUUCUUUAGAGGCUCAUCCUUCAGCAGUGGACACUCGAACUUGAAGUGACCAGGUUUCUUGCAUUCGUAGCAGAUCAGCUCCUUCUUUUUAUUGUAGUCAUUCUUAUUUCUAAUAUUCCAUGAAGCACUUUGAUCCUUCUUAAACCCGUUUUAGCUAGUCUCCAAUUUCUUCUCCCCAUAAGCUUUCUGAAUUUUCUUGCAACCAGAGCUAACUCUUCAUCAUCAUCGGAUGACAAUUCUUCCAGCUCUUCCUCAAAAAUGCUGGCUUUAAGUGUUAUGUUCUUUUUCUUUUCCUAUGCUUCUCUCCUAUCUUCUUCUUCUUCUUCCUCUUUAAGCUCCAGCUCAUGUGGGAGGAGUGAACCACAAAUCUCAUCUAAGGUAAUCACAUUUAGAUCCUUUGCCACAUGGAUUGUAAUUACUUUAGGCUUCUAAUUUUUUGGUAGACUUCUAAGCAGUCUCUUUACUAAUUCAUGUUCAGGGAUAGGCUUGCCUAGCUGACUUAAUUUAUUUGUGAUGUUUGUAAACCUAUCAAACAUGCUGGUGAUGUCUUCACCAGGCUCCAUUUUGAACAUUUCAUAGUUAUGUGUCAAGAGGGCAAUUUUGGACUCCUUGACUUGAGAAGUCCCUUCAUGGAUUAUUCUAAGUUUCUCCCACACUUGUUUAGCUGUUGUACAGCUUGAGACUUUGUUAAAUUCAGUGGGGGUCAAGGCACAAUGCAAUGUGUUGAUGGCCCUAAAGUUUACUUGAACUUUCUUAGUCUCAUCCUUGAUCCAUUCAGACCUUGGCUUGGGCAUCAACUCAUUUGUCACCACAUUCAAAGUUGAGGGCAUGAAGGGUCCAUCAGUUAUGAUGUCCCAUAUUUCAUAGUCAAUAGCUCUAAUAUAAAUUGACAUCAUAGUUUUCUAAUAAGUUUAAUUAAAGCCAUCAUACGGAGGUGGUUUGUUUGUUGAUUGUCCCUUAGCCACUACUGAUUUUUAGAAAGCCAUUUGGAUCCUCUCUAGGGAUGUUAACCCUUAAAACAAGGAACUAGCUCUGAUACCACUUGUUGGUCCCAACAAUAUGUACUAGAGGGGGGGUGAAUAGCACAAAUCGGCUCUUGACAAGAUAAAGAACUAAUUUCCAGCACAAAGAAAAUAAAAACAGAGUAGACAAUGCAUAGCAAUUUAGAGUGGUUCGGUCCAAGACUUACAUCCACUACCUUGAUUAUCCAACUAAGGAUUUUCCCAACAAAUCCACUAAGAUUUGGUGAAAUUCACAAGCUUUCACCAAGCUUUACAAUGGCUUUUACAAGGCUCAGCCAAAACCUUUUUCACGGGCUAAACUAAAACCCAAAUUGGUUUUUCCAAGGCUCAACCACAACCUACAACAAUCAAGCUGUCCCAAGCUUGAAUAACCCCUUAGAGUGACUUCCUCACUCUUAAGAAUACAAGAAAAGUAGUAAAAGAAAGUACCUAUGAUCACUGGUUGAUCUGAGUGGUACAAGAUUGAAUGCAAAUUACAAAUUCAAAGAAUAGGCGUUUAAGUGCAGUGAAUAUUUUCUGGUUUUUCAACUCUUUAUAGCUCAAAUUUCAUUCAAGGUUUCUAAAACCUUGUUUCUAAUUGUUGGUAGACCCUUUUAUACUUGAAGAAAUAUCUCUGAUGGCAGUUUGAUAGUUUUCUAGCUGUUAGAGACAGUUGAGAUUUGGUUCUAGUCGUUACCCUGUCUUUUAGUGUAGAUUUCAAACUUGCAGGAAGAAUGCUCUUAGUUGACUACUCGAUAUCUUAGUUGACUAGGUUGUCUCUGUUUUUCAAACUCUUCUGCCCGCCUUUUCUCCAAUUUGAAUCUUGGCCAACCAACAUUCUUCCUUAUUCAACUAAUGAGCUUUCUCCUUGUUAAUCAGUCAUGUCUCAUUAUUUUUAUCUCCCUUUUUCUUUUAAUAUACACUUUGAAGGAUUGAUUUAUUAAUUUCAUACAUUAAUUUUCCUGCACACUUAAGUAAAGGUAUUAGACACAAAUGAAUGGGAAUGUUUUACUAUCAUAAAAAACUAAUGGAGUCAACACAAGCACCAAAAUUCAAAUUCAAAAUAAGUUUGAUCGUUGAAGGGAGCCAAAAUGAAGAAAUUCAAAAUUCAAAGAAUUUCUAACUAAUUAGAUGUUGUGUUAAUCAGUGAAGGCUAAAGGAAGUGAAGCUCUAAUUAGUUAAGGGGAGAGUUAACCAAUUAGAGGAAGUCUGCUAAAUAUAGAACCUUGAAGACAGAGAUCAAUUAAUUGGUUAGAGUCUCCUAUAAUCAGUUAGCGCAGAGUACACAGUAGCAUGAUAGUGUAAGGCAGAGAAGCUUUAAUUAGUUAGAGUUACUUGUAACUAAUUAGAAGAACUCUAUUUGCCCAUUUGAAUUUAAACACUAGAGGAUAAAAUAAUAGCUAGAAUGGCAUCAGAGUUGUCCCUAACGGCAAGAAUCUAUCUUGAACAGCAAAAUCUGUCUCCCCAAGUAUAAAAGGAAGCUUCAAUGGUUAAGAAAGGUAAAUUUGAAGCAAAAAGAGCCACUUUGAGCAAAAAGCCAGAAGAACCUUCAUUAAAAACACUUGUUCUUCAUUCUUAUUCUUGAACAAGUGUUUGAGCUUGAGUUAAUCUUUCUAGAUUUUGUAAAGGUACCUAGGUGUACUUCUUUUUCUUUUUUGUCUUGGGAAUGUGGAGUGUGGGAAGCACUUUAAAGUCAUUGUAAAGGAGUAGACCUUAGGUUAGAAGCUCACCUUGUAAAAGCUUGGUGGAAGCUGUCAAUUCCACUAGUAUAGUGAUGUUGGGUUAAAAAUCCUUGAUUGGGAAAUAUCAAGUGUCACGACCCGGAACCUCCCUCAGGCCCAUGACAACCGUCGCGACGUCCCGAUUGACACUAAUUACCCAGAAUGCCAAUCAGAAUCCCGCAAGGCUUACAUAUCAGUUUCUUGCCUUUCUUGUGAGCAAUCGUUUUUAAAUAUUCCGUUUUAAACAAUUACUAGUCAUUUUUGGCUCAAGUAAAUCAAAAGACAAAAAUAUAUCAUUUUUUAUAUAAAACAAUAUAAAAUAGAAACAUGUGUAAAUAAUCUUUUGUAACGUGAAAGUAAAAUAAAUUCAUACAUACAAAAAUUUAUAAAGUUAUAAUGUACAAUAAUAAUUACAAUGACAAGUGGCCCCUAAAUACACAGUGUUGGUGAUAGUAACUUACUGUCUGUGAGAUAGAGGGGUCAACUGAAAUCCUCGACAAAAUCGGUAUCUACAAGCUACCACAGGCCUGAAAUAUUUGGAAAGGAGGUGGGUGAGAUUUUGCAAUCCCAAUGAGUAAACAGACAUUAUCAUAAAUAUCUAAAGGCGAGUAACAUGGAACCAAGUUUAAACAACAAAUUACAAACCAUUUUAUAAGGUUUUCAAUUUAUUUCUUAAAUCAUAAAAUAUUUGUAAUUUACCAAAACAGUUGUUAAGGCUUCUGACUUUUAUUAAAAAUAGGGCUCAAGCCAAAACUAAUCCUCGGGGAUACCUUGGUCGAGGCAUCUAACCGAGUCCGCCAAGGUUGUUAAGAUAUUUACAUGUGAAACACAUUUUUUUUUUAAAACAAGUCGUUCCUUGGCGUUGGCCGAGUUACACAUUCACGUGGGGGUUCGACGUGAAGUGAGCUCUAAUACUACCUCGAGAGUUACCCUCCUCGCCUCUACAAUCGGAGUAAUUAUGUAAUCGGGUUUACCGUGCCCCUCUAAUAGGCAGUCCACGGAAACCCGUCACUGCAGUGACUAACCCACCAAUUUUAAUAAAAUUUUGACAGUAUAACGUGGCUUUUAUUUAUUUACCCAGCCUGCAUAGUAAAAAAAGCUUACAUUUAUUCCCAAUGCAAUUAUAAAAUAUAGCCACAUAUACUUAUAUAUCAUAAGCCAUUCAUAGUAAAAUAUAUAUAUUUCAAAAUAAUUGACAGCCUCCAAUUACUCAAUUUCAUAAUCAACACAAUAUAUUUUUAUUUGUCACAUUUAUUUCUAAAACAUCAAAAAUCCCAUUUUAAUCUCAUUUUCGUUUCAUAAAAUACAUAAAGAGUAUUUAAAAAUAAACUCUAGAUAAUUUACAAUAAUAAUAGGUUUACUCACCGUUUGUACAAAUUAACUGAUUUUUAGGUGCCCCGAUCACUGUUCGUCGGGUACGACUUCCUUGCCUUUACCAGAAGGCUCUCCUCCUAAACACAUUGCAAAAUUUACCCAAUUCACCACAUUGAUGUUAAAUCACUAUAUAAUUGACUUAAAUCCUAUACUAAUGCAUGGUAUGAAAUGCAAUAGCCUAAAACGGCUUAAACGCGGUAUUAACCUAUUUUUGGUACUUUAUCUGUUAAAUUGCUAACGCGCUCCAUUUUAGCUCUAAAUUGUCCCAUUUUCUCUCCAACAUUUCUGACCAUUAAAUAUCAGCCAAUAACCUUCUAAAAUCACAAAAAUCAGCUCACCUUCCUCCUUGGAAAAUUCAGCAAAAAAUGGGAUAUUUACUCGGUUAAUUUUUCACUUUGUUUUUCUAUCACAUUUAACCAUUUUUCAUCAUUUUCUCUUCAUUUCUCUUAGAAUAAAAAUCAGUUCAUCAUCAUUGUACAUCAAUGCAUAUUUGGCCAAGGGUGGGUAUUGUGAAAAUUUCAUGCUUUCUUGCCCAAUUUAAUUUUUAUACACAUUUAACUAACUAAAACUACCAAUUUAACUAAAAAUCAAAACCUAAAAAUUCCAUAAUCUCUCCCCUAGAAUUUCGGCCAGCCCUUGGUUUCACUUUUUGAUCUCUCUCCUCAAGCAUGCUUAAUGGAAAUAAAGGCAUAGGAAAGGUAGAAAUCAAGCUAAAAUAAAAAAAUCUUAACAUUAGACGCGUAAACAGAUGAAAAACGCGAUUUCCCCUUUGAAUUUUCUAGUUUUCCUUUGUUUUUCUCUUUUCUUCCUUUCCUCUCUAUUUUCUCUCUUGUUCUUUCCUUAUGGCCAGCCAGCACUUAAUAUGGGGUUUAAAUGGGCUGACUUUUCAUUAAAAUAAUAUUAAAUCAUUAAAAAGUGCCACGUGUCACUUUCCCAUUGGCCCGUUUUUAAAAUUUCAUCCAUUUGUUUCCAAAAUUUCACCAUACACUUGUCCACAUAUCCAUAGCUUAGAUAAAAUUCUCAGACUUAUCCAAAGUCUUGGUGGAGUAAUUUUUGAAAUUUACACUUUUGCCCCUGUAAAAGUGAAAAAUUACAUUUUUGCCCAAAAAAUUGAAAAAUUGCCCAUAGACAUAUUUUUCAUCCCUUAUACUCAUACCAUUCCCCAAUUUGUCAAAUUUGAUCUAAAUUCUCUCAAAAUCUCAAAUUUUGUCUGCGGGUGGUAAAAUUACGAUUUUGCCCCUAAACAUCAAAAUUUCUAAUUUUACCCCAAAUGAACCCUCGAACUUCGAACAAUCAUUUUUUAUCAUUCUUGGACUAUAAAAUAUUAAAUUUCAUCCUACGAUUCCUAUUUGAACUAGUUCAAGGUUAAAUCAACUCAGGUGUACCGUUAGGUACAAUAUCGGGUUUUGUCUAUUGUUAGGACUUUCCUAGCGUAAUAGCAUGCUACUCAGUGCAUGUAUGUCAUGACAUAUAUUUAUAGGGUCGGGUUUUACAUGAAGGUAGUGGAUGUAGGUCAAAGGGACCGAACCACUAUAAAUACUCUUGCAUUGUCUAUUUUUCUUUACCUUUCCUUACUUAGUGUCUUCUAAUUCUGACAAGUUUUAAACCCUACUUCUUUUAGCUGAUUAAGAGCUCUACAAGCUCAAAAGUGCAUACUUUAAAAUUCUUUUAUACUAUUCAUCCCUCUCUAGCACUUCAAUGGGACCAACAACUUUUGGUUGUUUGUCACUUUUGAAGCAGAAAAAUGUUUAAAGUCUAAAAGGGGUCAAAAUAUGAAAUUUUUAUAGAACAAUCUUUUGGAAAUGAAAGAUAACGAUAAUGAUUCCUUUGAUAUUUAGAUGACCAUAAAUAAUUCUUUCAUAAUUUUUGGAGUACGUUUGCUAUGAUAAAUGGGAACCGCAAAUUUGAUUUCAGUUGAACAUUUUAAAUUUUGUUCAUGAAACCAAAAUUUAGAUUGUUAUCCUUUUGGAUUUUGAAUUUUUUGAUAUUUUUAUUGAAUCCAAAUGGGGGGUUGUUUGCUUAUUUACGUUAAAUAUUUUAAGUAAAUGAAGAGUUAAAAAAGAAAGAAGUAAAAAUGAGGACUACUUUCAUUUUUACUCUCUAUUGACUUAAAUGGUAUUUAAUGUACAUCAAGUAUUGAAUUGAGCUGUAAGAGUGCCCAAUUGUUGAGGUGACUAGGGCUUUAUGGUUAAAUGCAUGUGGAUGCAUCACACAUAAUAUUAUGUGCUAUCGUGGUACCUUGAAUUGCUAUGUUUAGGCUUAGAUGAGCAUGCCUAGGCUAGUACAUAAAUUACGUACAUUAAAAAUUGUGAAUAUGUUAUGUUUUUGGGAAGCAUGAGUUAUUAGAUACUUUGAUGUGUUCAUGCCUAAAUGAGAAUGCCUAGGGCAAUAUACUAAUAAUAUGUGUUAAAUAGUCAUGUAUAUUGUGUUGUGAGCCAUGUGUUGGCAUUGAGAUUGAACAAAGAUUAUUCAUAGAUAUGGGUAUAUGAUGAGUAAUUGUGGUGAAUCAUUGUAAUGUUUUAAUUGUUGAAUAUGAAUAUGUGAAUAAUAAGGUGAGGAUGCCUAAGUACGAAAGACAUCUAUGUGUAUGAUGCUAGAGAGCUAGAUUUAACGAUGUGAGUUAUGAUUGAUGAGUCAUAGAGCCAUCAAUGGUCGUACGUGACUAUGUUUCGUCUGAGGGGUAAUUUUGAACAUUGUUUCAAUGUUGAGGAUUGAGUGGCAUCUAUCCCCCUAUAAUUAUGUUAAUGAUACCACCCCUUGGGAGAUUACUUCGGAUGAUGAUUAUAUUGUGAUGCCACCCACUGAGACUACUCCGGGUGUGAGCAUGUCUACGAUACCAUCUAUUGGAAUAUUACUCCGGAUAAUGAUUAUGUUGAUGAUACCAUCCAUUGGGAGAUUACUCUGAAUGUUGAUUACGUUGAUGACACCAUCCAUUGGGAGAUUACACCAGAUGAUGAUUACAUUGAUGACUUCAUUCGUCAAGAGAUUACUUUAGAUGAUGACUUGACUUUUUGCUGGUUGCUACGGCAUUGUGCAUGAAUUAAUUUUGUUGGCCGGCCACCUGACAUGAUUUGAUGGUGUCUGGGGAAAAGCACUCAUUAAUUGUGAAAUUUAUUCGCUAAUGGAAAGGUAAGCCUUGAAAUAUAACUCGUGAUUCGGAGGCAUAUACUUAGUUUAUUACUGAAUAUGGGUAUGCCGUUGGAGAUGAGAUCACGGCAAAACGCAGUUGAAGUGACGUGCAUGUAGGAUAUUAGUAUGAUCCUUAUAAUCCUAUCUUUGAGACAUGAUUGAUGAAUAGCCAUGUAGGCUUUGAUAUAUGUUUGUCCUUAUUAUUGAUUUUAUAAUGUUUAAAUUAUGCUGUGUUUAGCAUCCCCAUCUCACUAAGUAUUAGAUGACUCACCCAGUUUGUGUACCAUGUGCAGAUAAUUGAUGCCACCGAUCUGUGUGUGGCUUAACAUCAUCAUUUGGAAAGUUGAAUUUUGGCAUCUAGUAGGUUUUCCACGUAAUGUUUCACUUUGCUGAUAUCGUUCCACAUUAGCUUUCACAUUUGGAUUAAAGUUUAGUAAAUGUUGUAUUCGGAUAUUGUAGGCACUAAGUGCCACGCGUUAUUAUGUUAAAAGAAGGGUUGUGUGGUAUAAACCCGAUGAUUGGCCUAUGUGCAGCCUUAUGAACCCUGUAAUUAAUGAGAUUGUGAUAUAAAAUUAAAUGUGUUUGCUUAUGAUAUCCACGAAUGGUAUACAAAACAGAUGAAAUCCUAAGGCUUGCUCAGGUCUCGUGAGUUUCACCUAUUAGACUUGUGCGUCGGUCACGGACCCUUGGUUUAGGUCGUGACAUGUGUAAUGCUUACUUUUAACCAACUUGAACUUUUCAACAAGUUUGAAAUGACAAAACAAGACUAUUCAAGUGAUUUAAAACGAAUAGUAUGAAAUCAUUUUCAUAAGGCAUGAAUAUUUAUUCCUAUCACACAACAUUCAUUACAAUCAAUUCAUAAAAUAAAAAUUUUGAAAGAAUCAUCUUAGGUAUUUUCAAAAUUUACUCACUUACGAUUAAGACUAGUUUCUAAUUCAAACCCAUGCUAGAAACCCAUAAAUCCUUUAUCCAUACCUUAAAUGAGCUUGAUGCUUGGAAACCUCAAGACCCUUAAGCUUUACUCAUAAACAGAAAAAUCUGGGCCAUAACAUAUAUUUUCAGAAGCUAAAAAUCAACAUUUAAAGUUUCCAAAACAUAGAAUGCCAUCGUUAUCGCUUAAACUCAAAACCAAGCUUUUUAAUCAUCAAAGAUGAAGAUUUGCCUAAAAAAUAGGUUGAGAGAGCUUAAGUUGAGAGAAAUACCUUAGAAAAAUGGUUUACGGUUGAAAACCCUAAAAAAUAUGAGGUAUUUAUGGUUUUGAGUGUGAAAAUAUAAUUUUGAUUUUUUUAUUUUUCUGAAAAUGACAAAAUGUGUCGAUACAUUUGGACCAUGCAUCGAUAUAUUUGGUUCUGAAAAAAUUGUAUUGAUACAUGACCAUAUGUAUUGAUACAUUAUAAACAUGUAUCGAUACAUUUGAAACAGAAUGUAGUUUCUAAGAUAAAUUAUCUAUAAAAUCUAUCCAGCUUAUUUACAUUAAAUACCAUUUAAGUAAAUGUCUUCGUUUUUACUUAAGAUAUUUAAUGUAAAAAGCAAACAACCCCCCAUUUGGAUUCAAUAAAAAUAUGAAAAAAAUCAAAAUCCAAAAGAAUCAAAAUAUAAAUUUUGGUUUUAAGAACAAAAUCGAAAUUGUUUGACUGAAAUGAAAUUUGUUGCUCCUAUUUAUCAUAGCAAACGUACUUCAAAAAUUAUGAAAAAAUCAUUUUUGGUCAUCUAAAUAUCAAAGGAAUCAUUACUACCAUUUUUUACUUCCAAAAGAUUGUUCUAUAAAAAUCACACAUUUUAGCCCUUCCCAAACUUAGAAAAGAAAAUUUUAUACUUCAAAAGUGACAGACAACCAAAAGUGCCAAUGAAUUCGUUUGAAGGUUAAAACUAAGUUUGAUAUUCAAAAUAUGUAAUCGAUAUGCUCACCUAAGGACUUCCUAACUUAUCCUCUUAGGUGGGAUUUCACAUCAGCCAGUUCAUAAUGGCUAGAAUCUGUCUCAACGGCUAGAUUUGAGUUUCCAAGUAUAAAAGGGUCCUCCAAUGGUUAAAGAUAGGAAAGAGAAGCAACCAAGACCAUAUUGUGAGAAAAAAAGUAAAAGAAUUUUAUUUUACACACUUGCUUUUCACAUUCCUAUUUUGUUAAAAUGUUUUGAGCUUAAUUGUCUACAUCUUAGAUCAAUAAAGGUCAUCACUUGUAUUUUUUUUUCUUCUUAAUUCUUGGUUGAUUAGAGGGUGCAAAGCACUCUAAGAUUUAUUGUAAGGGAUUAGAGUUUGGGUUAGAAGCUCACCUUGUAAAAGCUUGGUGGAAGUUGUCAAUUCCAUUGGUUUAGUGAAGUUGGAUUGAAAAUCCUUGAUUGGGACAUCAAUGUAGUGGAUGCAGGUCAAAGGAAUCGAACCACUAUAAAUAUUUGUGUUUUGUCCACUUCUCUCUACCUUGUCCUUACUUGGUGCCUUUUAACCUUAACAAGUUUUAAACUUUCCAUUUCAUAUUUUACAAAAUGCUUUUCAAUCUUAAGAGCUGACUUCAAAAUAUUUUGUAAGUGCUAUUCACCCCUCUCUACCAUUCCAUUGGGACCAACAAAGCAUAACCUUUACAACCAAGUAUUUUCAAGGCUUAAAAUUAACCUUUACAAUAGUUUUUUAAAGGAUCAGACUCAACCCCUUUACCAUUUAGUUCAGUUAAGGUAUAACCUAUCACAUCCCAUUUCCUAAAAAGAUCGUGAUUAGUGCAUGGACCUUAACGGGUAUGGCUUGUUAGGCCCAAGCAAGCUGCUUAACUUCAAUCAAUCAUCAAUCACAUAUAAGCAUAGAUAAAAUGUAAAUAUAAGCAUCCAUGCAUAGGCGCAAGUGCAUAAUUAUGGACUUCUCAACAUAAAAGGUGUACACGGUUCAUUCAUAAAAUACACACCUAGUACAUUUAACAUAAAAUCUGUAAAGGCAUCUCAAAUGCUCAUAUAAGCUCACAGACCAUCAUUCAUAGUAUUCACAUAAUCUCAUGAAAAUAAAUUGCCAUUCCAUGGCUCAACAUUCUUAAUAUUCACAUAUUAACAUAAAAGGAACUUGCCACACAGUGGCUUAACAUUCUAGUUCAAACAAUUAUUUAUAAACGAAAUAAAUGACCGACUCGUUAGUGAAACAUGACUCGACCCACUAGGCAUCAAGUGGUUGGUAGACACCUACUAAUGAAGGAUGAACGGAUCACGUGUCCGUGACACUAGCUGCUAGCAAAAGAGUGAUAUCCUUUAACUACAACAAAAAAUAUAAGGAAAAAUAACAUGUGAAUCACAAAGACUUCAAGUGGAUAUGAGAAGGGGACAAGUGUGAGACCUCGACCUCUAUAGGCUUGUAACUAGGCAUAGACGCAAUAACACGGGCUAGGGGUAAUUUCGUCAUUUCCUUAGUAAGCCCCUAAAAGUAAGUUUUAAAUAAUAUUAAGGUCUAAGUAGGCCUAAGGCAUAAAUGAAUGAUGAAAAUAUGGGUAAAAUGGAAAAGGAAAUAAAAAUGAUGAUGAUUUCCACGGUAGGGGAAAAAUGGUCAUUUUUCACCUUGAGUCAAAAUUUUUAAGUUUUCAUGAACCCCGAGCAUUUCUAGACCAUUAUGGACCUUGUCCUAGUGUCAAAAGAGUAAAAAGAUUGCAUAAAGGAUUGGAGGAGAACAAGUUGACUUGUGAGGGCAUUUUGGUAAUUUAAAUGGAGUGGAUAAGCUUGGGCUAUAAAUAUAUCUUUCUUCCAACAGCUUCUUCUUCUUCUUCCUUCUUCUCUUUCACAUUACUUCCAUCCUCCAUGGAAGCUUGAUAUGAACCUCCAUAACCUCCCUCAAAAUAGCUAUACUUUUCAUGCUUUUGGUGCACUCUUUCAUAAACCCUUGUUCUUUUCCACUCUCUCUUUAAAACCCUUGAAAAAUCUUAUUUUCAUACUCUCUCUCACUAGUUAGGUGUUUUAGAGAGAGAAAGAGGAAGUUUUAUUAAUAGCUUGAAAGUUUUUGGAAAGAAUUUCAAGCACAAAGCUACCAAGGUGAGUAGUACACUAGAAUUGAGUUUUAGUGUUGAAAAUGAUUAGUGUUUAGACUUGGGGGUGAUUUGGUAGUUGGGGUUGUUCAUUCACUUUAGAGUGAUUAGGAUGGUGAACAUAGAUGGCCACUUAAAUGGCAAAUGGAAGCUAGCUAAGAAAAAGCUUUUAGAAUUCAUAAGCAUGUGAAUUGACUUAAUGGUGAUGCUAAUGUGAUGAUAGGUUCUAACGAAGCCCCAUCUCCCCAUUUGGACAAUUAGAGAAGUAGAGUCGACUAAAGGUUCAACAAGAUACUAGUGAGUGAACUUGCAUUUCAAAACUGUUUUGGGAUUGUGAAUGUAUUUGCAUAAUGCUUUUGAAUGAGUUUAUUCAACUUUUCUUAAAAAUGGGUACCUUGGGAACAUGCUUUUGAUUACUGUCUUUAUAGAUUACAUGUAGCUAUUAUGGAUUCUUGGUCAAUGUCAUUAUGUCGAUAUACAUAUAUGUUGUGCAUUGAUGGCUGACAUUGUGUGAUAAUGAUAACCGUGCGUGUGCACGAUGUGGGGGAAUGCACAUGUCGAUGAUGACGGUGGUGAGGGUGUUGGAUUGUAAAGCCCGACCUUAUAAAAUACUUGUCAUGAUAUACAUGUGAUGGAUAGCAUGUUUGCAUGCUAGGAGAGUCUCGAAAAAUUUAUAAAAGUCGGUAUUGUACCUAGAGGUACAACAAAGUUGAUUUAAGCCUCGAACUAGAUCAAAUAGAGAUUUUAGGGUGAAAUUGAAAAUUUUACAGUCCAGGAAUGAUUUAAAAUGGUGAUUUGGAGUUCGAGGAUCAAUUUGGAGUCAAAUAAAAAAUUUUACUAUUUAGGGGCAAAAUGGUAAUUUUGCCACUUUAGGACAAAAUGGGAAAAUUUUGAAAGAUUUUGAUAACAUUUGACUUAUUGGAGUAUGAUUUGAGUUUGAGAAGUGAAAAAUUGUAAUCCCAGUAUUUUUCGGAGCAUAAGGGUAAAAUGGUAAUUUUACCACCCCUAGUGGCAAAAUUGUAAUUUUACACCACCAACACUUGUCAUGCUCAUAGAAUUCAUCCAUUGACUUUUUAUGUUAUGGAUAAGUGAGAAAAUAUAUGUGGUGGAAAUAAAAAGUUUAAAUUUUUAAAGUUUUAAAAAUGGACCAAUAAUAAAAUGACACUUGUCAAGCUUAGAAUAUUUUAUUAUUUCCUUUAAAAAUCAGCCUAUAAACCUCUCACUUCUCUCCAAAUAUUCGGCCAAGCAAGGAAAAGAGGGAAACAAAGAAAGAACAAACCCUAGGUGGAGAAUUUCAAUAGAAAAAGUGUGAAAAAUCAAGGAAAACAAGUGAAAAAGGUAGGAUUUCUCAAUUUAAACUUGAAAUCUAUUUUCCUUAAGCACUUCUCCUUAUUUUCCAUGCUUAAAUUACAUGUUUUUAUGAUGAAUUGUUGGCUGAUCAAAAUGGGUUAGGAGAGAGAAAGUUGUUAGAUUAAUUUGAUUUUAAGUUAUGUUAGUGUUUUUAGUUAGUUUAGCAUAUUUAGAAACAAAACAACAAGAAAAGAAUUUAUUUUCUCCCACAACCAUUAAUGGCUGAAUUUACCAUGUAGUGAGUGAGGAUGAGUUUGAUUUUAUUCUAGGAGAAUUGGUUAAGGAAUAAUGAAUUAUGAGCCUAGAAAAAUAAUGAGAAUUUUCGGAGCAAAAAUACGAAUUUUUACCCACUAGGGGUAUUUUCGUAAUUUGCUAUUGGGACUGAUAAUUUGCAUCACACUGAGGGACAUUAAGUUAAUUUGGGUGCAAUUGAGGUAUAGAAACUGAAAANNNNNNNNNNNNNNNNNNNNNNNNNNNNNNNNNNNNNNNNNNNNNNNNNNNNNNNNNNNNNNNNNNNNNNNNNNNNNNNNNNNNNNNNNNNNNNNNNNNNNNNNNNNNNNNNNNNNNNNNNNNNNNNNNNNNNNNNNNNNNNNNNNNNNNNNNNNNNNNNNNNNNNNNNNNNNNNNNNNNNNNNNNNNNNNNNNNNNNNNNNNNNNNNNNNNNNNNNNNNNNNNNNNNNNNNNNNNNNNNNNNNNNNNNNNNNNNNNNNNNNNNNNNNNNNNNNNNNNNNNNNNNNNNNNNNNNNNNNNNNNNNNNNNNNNNNNNNNNNNNNNNNNNNNNNNNNNNNNNNNNNNNNNNNNNNNNNNNNNNNNNNNNNNNNNNNNNNNNNNNNNNNNNNNNNNNNNNNNNNNNNNNNNNNNNNNNNNNNNNNNNNNNNNNNNNNNNNNNNNNNNNNNNNNNNNNNNNNNNNNNNNNNNNNNNNNNNNNNNNNNNNNNNNNNNNNNNNNNNNNNNNNNNNNNNNNNNNNNNNNNNNNNNNNNNNNNNNNNNNNNNNNNNNNNNNNNNNNNNNNNNNNNNNNNNNNNNNNNNNNNNNNNNNNNNNNNNNNNNNNNNNNNNNNNNNNNNNNNNNNNNNNNNNNNNNNNNNNNNNNNNNNNNNNNNNNNNNNNNNNNNNNNNNNNNNNNNNNNNNNNNNNNNNNNNNNNNNNNNNNNNNNNNNNNNNNNNNNNNNNNNNNNNNNNNNNNNNNNNNNNNNNNNNNNNNNNNNNNNNNNNNNNNNNNNNNNNNNNNNNNNNNNNNNNNNNNNNNNNNNNNUAUGAAUUAUUUUAUGCUAAUCUAUUUUAUCUGUCUCCAUUUACUCAGCUUUAGAUAUUUUAGAUGAUAUUUGUUUACUCACUGGGAUUAUAUAAUCUCACCACCCUCACUUCCACCCAUUUCGGGUUCAGGAUAGUCUAUAGAUAGCACAUUUCGUUGAGGACUAGCAUUGGAUUUGCAUUUUCCAAACUGUAGGUUCACAGUCUUUCUUACUUUUGGUUAUUCGAGGGCCCACUUGUUACUGUAAAUUAAAUUAAAUACUCUGGCUUACUGUAUUACAGUAUAUAUGAAUUUAUUUUGCUUUUAUGCUGUAAGAAUUAUUUACAUAAUGUUCUAAAAAUAUUGUUUUAUGAGAAAAUCAAAUAUUUUAUUCAAUAUUUUUAUUUUAUUCUAAUAGUCAUAAUUUCAUUUUAAACAAAUGUUUUAGACAUCCAAAUUUAUUUUUGAUUAUGAAAUAUGUGUUUUGCACCCGUAUACUACAUUAUUAGCUGGUUUCGAAAUUUUUAGGGAAAAAUGACUAAAAUACCCCUGUGAGACGAAAAUUAUUUUUUUUAUUGUUUUGGUUUGGGAAUAGUUUAAAAUCUUUUAGAACGUGAUAUUUGGCAACGGUUACUCACAGGGGAAAUGAGAAACUGAUAUUAAAGCCUUGCGGGGUUCCGAUUGGUAUUUCGGGUAAUGAGUGUCUAUCGGGACACCGCGACGGUCGUCACGGGCUCGAGGGGAGUACCGGGUUGUGACAUGGAUGAUGAAAGUGACCGUGUGCACGAUGUGGGGGGAUGUACAUGAUGGCACUAAUUGUGAACGAUGUGGGGGCAUGGACACGAUGACUCCGACUAUGUGCACGAUGUGGGGGGAUGCACAUGAACUGGAUGAGAUGAUAGUGGUAUUGGUAUUUAUCCAUGUAUGUAUAUGUAUAUAUGUUUAGAGAAUGAAAACUCAUGAAUAUGGUUUAUGGUUGAAAUGCAUAUGAAUUCGGCAUGUUGAACUUUGAAAAUCUUUAUGUGUUUCAUGUUGAUUUUAUCAUUUUAGCUAGAUGGCCUUUUUCUUGAAAGAACAAAAAUAUUUCUUGGUGCUCUGUUUCUCACUGCAGUGAGAAACUCUAAGGUUUGAGGGAUUCACCAGACUUGGUUCUCACUACAGCGAGAAACUCUCUGUUUGGCCAGUCAAAUUUUGCUGCAGCGAGAAACUUUCUGUCCCACUUGGCUACCUUGUUGAUUUUUGCCACAUUUUCCACCCCUUUAACACCAUAGUGGAUCAUUGACUUCCAACAUCAAGGAAUUAAUUAACUAAGUCAGAAAUGAGGGGUUUAAAGAGAAACCCUCGGCCAGUUGAGAAAACCCUUGUCUCACUAAAAAUAUGAGCCAAACUUCUUUGCAAUGAGAAUGCCUUUCCUCUGCAACGAGGACCCGGUGUUUAUUUGACCUGAUUCACAUGAAUGCUAUUAAAGUUUUCACUCUCCAAAUCCUUUGUUGAGCAUGGACCCUUUUCAUAAAGUGAUUUACUCAUGUGGGGUUUACAUGAGGGGUUUUAAUAAGAACUAAAACAAAUUGCAUUGUUUUGAAAAAUGAAUGCAUCAUGAUUUCGUUAAACAUUCCUUAGUGUUUGCUUGUUCCCUUCUUGUUCACUUACUGGGUUUAUACUCGCCAUUUUCAACUUCAUGUUUUUAGAUCAAGAGGCAGUCGGUAACUAGGUCGAGGUGUCCUCAUAGACUUGUAUCCAUCUUCUGGUAGGUAUCAAUGGCAUUCAGUAGUUGCACCUUCGCUAUAGUUGCUCCGCUGGAAGUCUAAAGUCCUUUUUGUUGAACACACGUGCCCUGAUGUAAAUUGUUAAGACGUGUAUAUGUCUUAAGCAAUAAAUGUUUAUAUUGUUUAAUGUUGCCACUAUGUAAUGGCACGGAUGACAUUAUUGUGAAUCAUAUAAAUGUGAAUAUAUGGUAUCGAUAGAAAAGUUUUGACAUACUCGUUAGUAAGAAUUACGAAAUACAGUGGCAAGAACAAAUGAUGAAAUCGAUGAAUGGAGUCACAUAGAUAGGCUUGCUUGGGCUUAGGGGGCUAUGUCCAUUGGGCCCAUGCACCGAUCAUGGCCUGAAAAUUAGGUUGUGACAAUAAGGUAGGGGAUAAGAGGAUUUCAUAAACAUGCACUUGUAAUCUCAUGCCCUUCGUAAACAAUUUAAUCAUAAAGUUCAUGAAACAUUGUAUUUAAUGCAUUUUAGAAGCCUCUUUACCUUUGAAAUUCUCAUCAAAUUCAAUUAACAACCAUUUCUACAAUGAAUCUAUCAAUACAUUCUCAGAUGUAUCGACCCUUUCAAGAAUCUAUCGAUACAUUAGUGAAAUGUAUCGAUGCAUUUCGCACAGAAAGCCUCCUGAAAGGUACCAUUUAGAAUGUAUCGAUACAUGCUCCGUAUGUAUUGAUACUUUGAACACAAAAUCUUAAUUUUUGGGUAAAAUUUAGCAUCUUUGUCAUUCCUUAAGUCCCUUUAUGACUAGGGAGACUACCUUUAAUGCUCAACUCAUUCCAUCAAAUUUAUUCCUAUGCCAACAUAGUGUAAUACUCAUAUAAGCUCGGCAUACAACAUUUCAUGAAUGCGUAACAACUAUAUCAUCCCAUUAACAUUAAAAUGCCUCUUUCAAAUAUCAUAAAUCAUACAAUGUGAUGGUUUGUCCCCCAUCAACCUUACGUUGGCAAUAUACAAUCUCAUUACACCUCAAAAGUUUAUGAUGCAUAAUAGGAGUGAAGUCAUCACUUACACCCAGUAAGAGUGGACUCAAUCACACUCAUUGCAUUCCCAUACCCAUAGCAUUAAGUAUGUGGAAAGUCCAUCACAUACAUGCUUAUUUAUCUCAUAAAAUAUAUAGAAAAUACAUCAUAUACAUAAUCACAUUUCAUUCAUCAUGUUUUCCUUAGCAUCUACUGUAGUAUGUGGCAUAUACAUCAUAUACGUAAUCUCAUGGCAUUUAUCAUGCAUACUAAAUAACCUCAUAUAGUAUAUGAAAUUUACUUCAUAUACACAAUCGUAUAGUAUUUAUCAUGCAUACUUAAUCAUCUCAUAUGGUAUGUGGAAUUUAUAUCAUAUACAUAAUUUUAUGACAUUCAUCAUACCAAAUAUGCACAUAAUAGCAUCUAUAAAUAAACAUCCAAUAUCUCGUACCCAUAGUAGUCCAAAGACUGAAGUAAUCAAGUGGACUUCAAACGUAAGGUGCUUGUCCCCCCUUGUUGAAAACUAAUACAUAGUAGAAUAUUAACAUACAUAGUAAAUUCAUAAACAUUUUGAAGACCAUUGUGUCAAUCAUAUUACAUUCACUAACAAUUUAUUUUCUUAGAAAAUAAUUUUCAUUCUUGAAACACAAAUCUUUUGAUAAACCAUUUGAGAGAUAUCAUUUCAAUGUACAUAAAUAAUCUUUUUCAUAGAAAUCAUGCUAGCUUUACAUAUCAAAAUAAUUUGAAAGUGGUGUAUCCACUUACCUAGUUGGAGAUUCGAUUCCUAGCUCGAAUCACAACUCUGUUUUGGUGAAUUCCAUGGAGUUUUCAAGCGUUCCUAUCACACAAUAUUCAUUACAAUGAAUUCCUAAAAUAAAAAUCUUGAAAUAAUCAUUCUAGGCACUUUCAAAAUUUACUCACUUAUAACUAAGACUAGUUUCUAAUUAAAACCCAAGCUAAAAACCCAUAAAUCCUUUAUCCAUACCUUAAGUGAGCUUAGAUGCUUAAAAACCUCAAUACGCUUACGCUUUACUGAUAAACAGAAAAAUUUGGACCAUAAAAAUAUAUUUUCAAAAGCUAAAAAUCAAAAUUUAAAGUUUUCAAAGCAUAAAAAUGUCAUUUUUAUCGUUUAAACUCAAAACCAAGCUUCAUAAUUAUCAAAGAUGAAGAUUUGCAUGAAAAUAAGGUUGAAAGAGCUUAAAUUGAGAGAAAUACUUUAGAAAAAUGGCUGAGGGUUGAAAAUCCUCGAAAAAUGUAAGGUAUUAAUAGUUUUGAGUGUUAAAAACAUUUUUGCCCCUUUCAUUUUUCUGGAAAUAGCAAAAUGUAUCGAUAUAUUUAGUCCAUGUAUUGAUAUAUUUGGUUUUGAAAGAAUUGUAUCAGUACAUUAUGAACAUGCAUCGAUGCAUGGCCAUAUGUAUUGAUACAUCAUGAACAUGAACUAAUACAUUUGAAGCAAAAUGCAUUUUUUGAGACAAAUUAUCUAUAAAACCUGCCCAGCUUAUUCUCACUGGUGCUUUAACUCCAAUUCACUCAAUUUCGCCACUUAGCAAAUGGACAGCAUUUUCACUCCCAUUAUAGUCAGCAUUUAAAAAAUGAACAUUUUUCAUUAUUCAUACAAUCAUUCACUAUUUCUAAACCAAAUCCUUGCUUUUAGAACAUCUCUAGACUAUUCACAUCAACUAUUUUAAAUCUUCACAAAUUCUUCACAAAUAAUUUAAAUCUCUCCUUAGUUGCGAAUAUGGUUCAUUUCAAACCCAAAAAUUCCAACAACUUCCAGUCCAAAUAAUCACCAAAGCUAAAACAUGAAUUUUCAAUUAUUAAACUGUUUAAAUUGGAAAACAAUGGGUAGAAAGCUUCAAAUUUACCAUUAUAACGACUUCCCAAGCUCAAAAUCACUUCUGUAAGCUUUAAAAUCCAAAUGGGGGAUGAAGGUUUUAAGAGAGAGGUGUCAGGGUUCUGUGUUUAGGAGCUUUGGCAAACGAGCGGAUUGCCCAAUGCCUUUUAUAUUUUUUUGCCAAUUUGCAUGCAUGUAUUGUUACAUUUAGUAAUGUAUCGAUACAUUUCCAUGGGUUACCUUUAAUUCUAUUGAUACAUGAGGUAUUGUAUUGAUACAUUUUUUUUAAAUCCCCUCCAAAUAUAUCGAUACAGGAGACAUUGUAUCGAUACUUUUUAAAUAGGAUGCUCUCUGGCCCAAAUCUAUCGAUACAUUUGGAUAAUGUAUUGAUAGAAAUCGCAUUCACUAUAGUUUUCUUCAAUUCUAUCGAUACAUGAGGUGAUGUAUCGAUACAUAUUUCCCAAAAUGCCCAUUUUGUGUUCUUCCUGCCUUCAAUGUAUUGAUACAUUAGGCCAUGUACCGAUACUUCUUAUCCAAAAUGCACUUUUCCAACACUUAGAGCUUUCCUAGCUAAAAUUUCAAACUCUCAUUUCCUUUCCGACUUACAUUCUCAUCUGAAUUAUCAAGACAUAAACUCAUUAUAUAGGUCAAAUUCUCAAUUAUGCACUAUGUCUCAUGGUAUAUCAAUUAAACAUAACAUAAUUGACUUAAACAUCACAUUCAUCUAAGUGCCAAACAAUGCACCAUAUCAUUCAUGUGCCAAACAUAUGGACAACAAUAUUUUGAGCUUUCACAUGCUCAUACAACACAUAAUCAUCCUUUAUGGACAUAGGUAUAUCGUUAAUCUCAUUAACACAUAUACUAUCAUAUAUAUCAACCACUUAAGGUUCAAAUUAGCCCAUCUAUCAGCUUAACCAUCAUACCUAUUUAACAUUGAAAAUCGGGGGUGUUACAAUGCAUACAUGGUUAAAAAGUUGGAAGAACAUUGUUAGUGUAGUAAGCUCAAUGCAAUAAAUACCAAAAGGGAGUGAAUUGGUUUUUUUAAAAUUUUUUUUGCAAGCUUAAUAAAAUAACCCGUUUUUGAAAAACAAAUUAUCUUCUUGUGUCAAAAGCAAAGCAAGUGAUUUUUCUUGAAAGCAAAUAUCAAUAAUAAAUCACAAAGCACAAAAGUAAAUCAAGGCAUAAGUAUUUUUAUAGAGGUUCGGCAUUCUCAAAUGCUUAUGUCUUCUCCCUUGGCUCACCAAAGAGUUUCAAAUCAACCAAGGAAUCUUGCCUUGUAAUGAGAUCAAGAUAUAGCCCUCACAAUCGACAUUUUCAUGGGAUCAAGCGAUAACCCUUACAACUGCUUUUUCAUGAGAUGUAAUACCUCGUACUUUGAUAUGGUGGCUAAUAAAGCUUAUCGGAUGCCAAUUGAGGUCAAUUAGAAUGUUUAAAAGUGAUGAAGGGUGAAAGGAAUAGUUUGGAAUAAAAUAUCUCGCAUACGAAGAAAUAACAAUUGAAUAAUAAUAUUUUUAUUAGGGAUGAAUGUGAAACCUUGACAUUCAUAGACAUGUAGCCGAUGUAGACACGUUGACGUAGAUUAGGAGUAAUCUUGUCAUUUUCCUUGGUGAGCUCCUAGAAGUGGGUUUUUUAACUAUUAUUAAGGUCUAAGUAGGCCUAAGAAAUAAAUGAAUGAGGUAUAUAAUAAUGAAAUGAAUGAAGAAAAUUGAAAUAAUGAUAAUUUCCAUAAUAGGGGCAAAAUGGUCAUUUUAGGUCUCGGGUUUAAAUUUUUAAGUUUUCAUGAACUCGAAUACCCCAAGUCUAUUGUGAAUCUUGUCUUAGUGUGAAAAAGAGUAAAAAGUCUGAACCAAAGGAAAGAAGAAGGUAAAGUCAACUAUGCAAUGGCAUUUUUGUAAAUAAGUGGAACUUUAGUCAACUUUAAGCAUAAAUAUGUAAAUCUCUAGCAUUUUCUCCUCACUUCCAAUAGCUUCUUCUUAUUCUUCCCAUUUUUCUUCUCCAUUUCACGUUUUCCAUCUCUCAUGGAAGCUUCCCUUGAAACCUCCAUGAUUUUCUCAUGGUAACCCCAAAUCUUAUGUUUUGAUAUGUACCUUGUCAUAGGAUUUUUCAUGUUCUUUUACUUCUACACCUCAAGAACCCUCAAAAGUCUUUCCUCAAUACUUUCUCUCCCUAGCUGUACGUUUUAGAGAGAGAAAAAGAUACUUUUCAUAAUAGCAUGAAAACUCUUAAAAAGGAAUUCAACUACAAGACCAACAAGGUGAACAGUGAGUUAAGUUUGAUUUAGAAAAUAGCUUUUGGAAUAAUAUUCAUGUCAAUUGAGUUGGUUGUGAUGUUAUUGUGUGUGAUAGGUCCCAACGAGACCCCACAUCUCCACUUGGAGCAUUAGUGGAAGUUGGAGUCGAUUAAAGAAUCAACAAAGACAAGUGAGUGAACUUGCAUCUAAAUUAUUUUGGGAAAUGCAUAGGUGUUUGAAUGAAUCAUUUGAAAAUUUUAUUUAUUUUUACUUUAUAAUAUACUUGGGAAACAAGCCCUUGAUGAAAUGUUCUUUUAUUAUGAAAUGUGCAAUGUGAUUAGUUCAUGUGUUCCUACAUUAUGUUGAUGUGUAUGGUAUGCAUUAAAUGUAUUAAUGUGUGAUAAUUAUAACCGUGCGUGUGCGGUGUGGGAGUGCAUAUGACGGUGUUGGUAGUGUGCAGUGUGGGAGUGCACACGUCGAUGAUUGAUGCCAUGUGUGGUCUGGGAAAGCACAUGAUGCUGAUGAUGAUAUUGUAAUGUGCGGUGUGGGAGAGCACAUGAUGCUGAUGAUGAUAUUGUAAUGUGCGGUGUGGGAGAGCACAUGAUGCUGAUGAUGAUAUUGUAAUGUGCGGUGUGGGAGUGCACAUGAUGACCUAGCUAUGUGCUGUGUAGGAGUGCACAUGAGUUGAGGGAAGGUUGGGGUGAUGCCGGUAGUUGUAUAUAUGUUUAUAAAUGUUAUAUAUAGAGAGAGGUUAUAGAAAAUAUAUUGUGAUUGCAUUGAAUAUUGAAUGUUAAAAUUUGACAAAUGCUUUCCAAUUGAUUUUCACUGCAGCAAAAAUGGAUUUCGUUGCGACAAGAAUUCUUUUAAUUUCAUUGCCCUAUUUUUCACUGUAGCGAAAUUUAUUCUCGCUGCAGCGAGAAACUCUCGAGUGCUUAGGGCUCAACACAGCCUUAGUUUUCGCUGCAGCGAAAUUGCAUUCUCGCUACAGUGAGAAACUCUCGGGUGGUUGGGGUAAAAUGUCAGCCUGGUUUUUGCUGCAACAAAUUACAUUCUCGUUGCAGCGAGAAACUCUCGAUUGGUGGUUCAAAACUUUUGCCCUGAAUUUCGUUGCAACGAGAUUCCCUCUACCAUGCUUGCCUUGCUUGGAUUCUGUUGUAGUUUUCACUCUUUUCAACUUCAUGGUUGAUCAUAGAUCCUUCAACAUAAAGGGAUUAAAUAAUCAAAGUUUGAAUUGAGGGGUUUUAACAAGGAAAUUAAGCUAAAUUGCAUUGUUUUCAACAUAAGUGCAUCAUGUUUUCUAAAACUUCCCAUAUAGGUGCUUGUUCCCUUCUUAUGUUCACUCACUGAGUUUAUACUCAUGCUUUUCAACUUCAUGUUUUAAGAUUCAGAGGUAGUUAAGACCUAGAUUGAGGUGUCCACUUGUAUUUGCUUUUUGGUAGGUACCAUGGCAUUCAGUAGCUGUACCUGUACCCAGAGUCACUCCGCUGGUAGUCAAGAUUCUUUUGCUUGUGUAUACUCACAUGUGUUGUAAAUCACUAAGGUUCAUGUUAUGCACAAUACAUGUAUAUUUGGAUUGAUGAUUGCCAUUAUAGGUUAGCAAUAGGUGACAUUUUUUUUAGGUUAAUAUGAAUGCAAGCAUAUGAUUGUCAAAGCACACUAUUAAAGUAAUUAUAGUUGAGAAUCAUGAAAUGUGACUUUAGGUGUGAUGGAUGAUAUAAUGGACAGGACUACAAAAAGAGGCUUGCUUAGGCUUAGUGGGCUAUGCCCAUUAGGCCUUUGCACCAGUCAUAGCUCAAAAAUUGGGCUGUGACAUGAGACCAAGUGAAAACCCUUGUAACAGCUUUUUCAUGGGAUCAAGCGAUAACCCUUUCAUUGGCUUUUUAACAAGAUCAAGUAAUAGCCUUCACACUAACUUUUCAAGGUUAAGUUUGAACCUUUAUAAAUCUAUGUAUAAAGAAGUUAUAGUAAAGAUUUGCCUCACAAAGCCUGGAUGCUAAAAGCUUAAGCUUUGGUGUACAAAGAAAAGAAAUAAUCUAAAAAAUAUUAGCUUAAGGAUUUGCAAGUGAAUGAGCUUGAAUGGCUUUGAAUGCUUGAGGGAAGACUAAAAUGAUGUCUAGAGAGAUAUAAGGAUUUUGAAUUCUCUCUUUAUGGUUUCCAAGUGUUGCUCUGUCUUUUCUUGCUUCAAAUUGAGUCAAAGGCAGCCUUUUAUGCUUGCUAGGAGAUUUGGAGCUGGUAGACACAAGUGUGAAUUAAAUCUAGCCAUUGAUAAGCUUGAGGGUCAACUACAAGGCUUUUAAGAUCGACUAUGUUCUUCAAAAAUCUUGAAUUAGGGCUUCCAUAGUCGAGUAUAAACUUCCUCUACUUGAUCCACUUUCAGAGAGCAUGUAACUUUGAAGUUUUAACAUUGAGGACCAACUACCAAGCCUUGAGGAUCGACCGUAACAUCUUCAAAUGUGAGAUUUCUAGUGUUUACUGCUUGAGGAUCGACUAGGGCUUCUUAAAAUGUGAAAUUUCUAGUUGAAUCUUGUUAGGUUUAGCUAUGGAUGACAUGGUCGAAAUUACACAGUGGAAAAAAAUAAAAACUUAAGAAAAAAAUAAAACAUACCUCCACCAAUGGAUCAUCGUGGUUAUAUUUUAACACAUAGAAUGGCAUAUAAAAAAAAAAUACCUCCACCAAUAAAUCACCAUGGUUAUAUUUUAACACAUAGAAUGGCAUAUAAAAACAUAACAUCAAAAGCUAACCUUGCUAAUGUUCUUUUGAUCGGAAUAGUAAUCUCCUCAAUGCAACCUGCGAACACCAUAAAAAGCAAGAAUCCUAGCCAAUCAGGCUUUUGGAAUUCAAUGGUAGUACACAUGAUUUUCGCUUGAACCUUUCAUCAAGGAGGGAGAUUUUAACUAUGCUUUUGUGCUACCAAAAAGGGACGACAUUUGUCCCUUUCCACUUUUCACAACGAUGGUUGAAUCAUACAUUUAAAAAUUGCCUUAAUAACAAUUUUUCUUUUUCACAAAGUAGGUGGCGGCACACAUAAGGAGAAAACCCUUUUUUCUUUUUUGAUAACUCUUUUUCUUUAUAUGUGAAAAAUUCGUUAAAUGUGAUUUAUACAACUAGGUUAAAAUUAACUUUAAUUUUGCAAUAAUGCCUUCUAAAUUAUAACACAUUACAAUGGAGGCCCAUGACUUAAUUAAACUAUUUUUAUUAAGCCCAAUGCAAAAUUAAGUUUAAAUAAUUUCCUUUAUAUUGUUUCAAUUUUGACAUUAUAAUUAUAACUAUUUACAUAUUAUGCCCAAAACUUAAUUAAACUCUUUUUAAUUAAGAUUAUAGAAGUUAAUUACCUAGCAUAUGAUUUAAGUCUAACUUAAAUCAUCAUUCUCCCAAUUUAAUUCAAAUGCAAUCAUUAUGUGUGACCCAUUAGGUUCUUAACAUGUUGGCAAUGGAAUUAAUUAAUGACUUAAUUGAUUCAUAUAAAUUUCAAUCAAUUAAUUUAUAAUUAAUUCCAUAGACUAAGAUUGGCAUCUAGCAAUGCAUCAUAAGCACUCAAUUGUUAGGAGGGUCAAAGGGUUCUUUUAACAACCUUUUAGUGUAUAGUUUAUCAGUGUAAUUCAUUCCCUCAUCAUAUAUCUCGAAGAUGAUAAGAGCUUGGUACAGUGUCUACUAUUAUUGACCUCUAUAUUCAUUCUUGCAAUUAUAGCAUUAGCUUUAUAGAGACUUAUGAAACCUUUUUCAUAAUCUCCAAGUCACCUUGGUCAAGGACUUCAACAAGCUAAUGUUAACCAAGAACUGAUAGGAUAUGGUUAGGCACUCGUAGGGAUUGAAUAAAAGCAUAGCACUCCCCAUAUAAGACAACUUGGCAUCUCAAGUCUAGGGAGUAUUUACAUGAUUGACACAUGAAAAGUGUUGCAUAGACAUUAGAGUGCAUUACCACAUGCACUUCUCAUGGUGGGUCAUGUUAAGUGAACUUGCUCUCCUCGGCAAACACCUACAUUCUAGUUCCAAGUAUCUCUAUACUUCAAUCUAUGGGAUCGAUUGCUUACUUUGAAAGUAAGGAACAUAAAAUGUACUAGUCUAUAAGCAUCAUUGAUGUCCAGUCUCAAUGAUACAUUGACUAGGAACAUUUUGAGAUUACGCUUUGAUGUAUAUGGAUCUCAUAACUGUAACCCAUUACAGUUCCUUCGCAAGGCAUAUUAAUAUCAUGGACUUCUACUAAUUAGACUUAUAACUCAUUAUAAUUAAUGUCUUAUUGAUGAAGAAAACCUCUAAUCAUUCAAUAUGAAUGAUAUCGUUGCAUGGCUAGAACCUAACCUUGACCAAUCUCAAUUAACUGUAGGGCUUAUCUCAACAUUCUCCCACCAGCACAAAGCCAAUUGUUGCCUCAUCACAAUAUGAAUCCAAUCCAUUUAGCAAUCGUGUCUCUUUAUAGACUUGCUUAUGCCCUUUAAUGUGGUUAAUUGCUCUUACUUUAUGAGGUCAUAACAUCUCGUGAUAUUACUAUAUUUAGACCCGAUGAAACUCGGUUCUUGGUGUGGCUCUAUUGUCAUAUUAACAAUGGCUAGAACCCUUUAUUAGUUCAAUGGGCUAAAGAUCUAGAUAUCCUACUACUUGAGCCUUUAAUAGGAUGUAUAUGACCUUAUUUAUAAACAUGUUCAUAGUCCUUUUCUAACUUUGGAACUAUUCCAACUUGACUAUGCUUCAUGCAUCACAUGCAUUUUGUCACUUAGUUUUGUGCCAUCCAUUACUUAUUAAAACUUGGCCUUUUCUUUAUACACAUAUUUCAUUUUAUGUAAUUGUAUCAAUAAAGAACUAUAUUCACUCCCAAUAACCUCCUCAUGUGUAUGAGACAAGUACACUAACAUAUUCUAUUACAUGAAACUCUUUGGAUCUCAUUAAACAGAAUAAAGUGUAAAAUUUCAUUAAAUUAUAUUUAGUAGAUUCAUUUAAUAUGAAAAUACAUCUCAAUGUAUCUUACUAAAUCCAUGGAGUUCUCAUACAAUUAUAUUGAUUAUGCAACUUAAAGUAAAAUCUCUAAUAUUGAAUUCCAAUGUAACAUAGUAAUGUUAAGAAACUAUUUUCUUAAUGUCAUGAUGCUUCAACUAAAUCCAAGAUUCUUUGUGAGAGUAAUAUUCAAACUCUUUUGAAUAUUCCACGAAGGUUCAUACAUACAUGCUAAUGCAUGCUUGGAAUUGUAUUGGUUUUAGAAUACCAUUAUGGGCUUAAUGUAUUGGAGAAGUAUGGACCAAAUCAUAUCACAAUAUGACUUUGCUUUCUUCUUUUGAAUAAACAUCUCUAUGUUUAAUUCAUAAGAAAGUUUCACCAUUACAUGAAUUGACAUUCAUUCAUUUGAUCAAUUAAUCACAAACUCAAACGAUCUUUUACUAAGAUCUUCACUUAAGUAAGGUCACUUGAUUAGUUGAUUAAUCUGAAUUGAUUAAUUUUAUUUUAAUCAAACUAAUUUUACAUAAAUCAUAAUUUAUAAUUGAUCAAAUACCAUUGCAAGUUGAAAUAUGAAAUGUGGAUAAUAAUAAAGUAAGAUAUAAUUAUUCCAAAUAAUUAUCCAAACAUGAAACAUUACAACUUUAACAUCUAAAUGGUAAAUAUAAAUGUUUCACAAUUCAUCCAUAUGGCAAUAAAUGUCAAAACCUUUAACCAAAUUAUCCAACAAAUCAAAUCAUAAGUUUAAACAGGCAUGCAAACCAUCCAUAUGUAGCAUGCAAUGCUUCAUGUAGUGCAUUAAUCUGGUCUCCUUCUUAGCUAAGAUCCUAUUCAUCUAUGUCCUGGGUUUUUGCAAUAUGUCAUACAUAUUAGAACCAACAUAAGGUAUCAUAUAUCUUUAUAAUAUAGAGUAGUAUAUCUUAACAAAUGGUACCUAAAUUAGAAACUUUAACAAGCUUCUUUUUCUUGCUUGCAGCAGCUCAGGUACUCCUUGUAAUUCCGUCUCCAAUGCCCAGGUUUGCCACAGUGUCCUUCUUUUUGUCCUUUUUGGCACCUCUUUUAGGCUUCAAUGCCUUCUAAUUUGGGGAUGUUACCUUCUUCCUCUAUUAGGGUUUUUUUUUCUUUUGCCUCAUUUGAGCCUUUGAAAAAGAAACAAAAAGUAAAGCUCUUUUUUCCUUUUUAAUAGAGCUCUCUAUCGUGUCCAGCAUGUUCAGAAGUUCAGGAAAAGUCACUUCCAAACGGUUCAUAUGGAAGUUCAACAUAAACUAAUUGAAGUUGUCAAGAAGAGACUAUAGAACUAAGUCAGUACUCAACUCAUGAUCUAUCGCCAAUACUAAUUGUCCAAUCCUCUCAAUGAGUUUAAUCAUCUUUAAUAUGUGGGGUCUAAUAGAACUCCCAUCUGCCAUCUUGCACUGAAAUAAUUCCUUAGAUAUCUCAUAUCUUUUAGUGCGCCCUUUCUUCCAAAACAAUUCUCUAAGGUGAAGAAUUAUGCAUUGGACAUCCAUGCUGGCUAGCAUGCUAGCUAGCAUGACGCAUGCUACCUGAUGAUCAUCAUCCUUAUGAUGUUGAUAUGCCUCUUUAUCCUCAGCACUACCAUCAUCAGCAAGGACUGAUGGAAUAGGUGUGUCAAGGACAUGCGAUUUCUUCUCCUGUUUCUAGAUGAUCUUGAGGUUUUGAUACCAAUUCAGGAAGUUUGGGCCAAUGAGUUCAUUUACAUCCAAGAUGCUCCGAAGUGACAAGUUGUUAGCCAUGUAUAUAGAUUAUGUCUGAAUAGAUAAGAUAAAAGCAAUAAGUAUAAUCACGCAUAAACUAUUUAAAACAAGGCUUUGAAAUUUUAAAUAGGUCACCCACUAUUUUAUAUGCAAAAUGACAACCCUCAAAGUCAUUCCAGAAACUUUCUUCUAGGAACUUUCUAGUGGGCUAGGAUGCCGUUCAACUUACCAUGACCUUGACUGUGCUCAAUAAGCCAUGAUAUGCCUAAUUAGGUAGAUAACUUAGUUUAUUGAUCACAUCUCUAUGUGACUCCUAGAUCAGCUAGUGUUGACUCCAUAUGUUUUUGAUGAAAACAAAACAUUCCUUGUUUAUUAAUGUCUAACUUCACUAUUUAAGUGUGUAGGAUAAAGUUAAUUCCCUCAGUAAAAUGAAUGAUUAAAAACAAGAUCAUAUAAUAAAUAGGUUAAUCAGUUGAAGUGUGAAAGAUGAAAAUAGUUAGUGAAGAUAGGGAUUGUGCAGCUAAUUAUCAAAAAGCCUUAAUCAAUUAAGGAAUCCUGGGCUACAAGUUGAAGCAAAAUAGAAAAAUCCUAAUCAGUUAGCACUAGGCUUAACUGAUAAGAAGUUGUUGGACAAAGGAAAAACAGAGGUGUGCCAAUCUAUUAAGGCAUAAGGUUAAUCGAUCAGAGUGCAAGACUUGAUGAAUCUCUAAAUGCCAAAAUUGAAAUAUAAAGAGAAGUUGACCAUUGAAGGGAGCCAAAAUGGGGAAGUUGAAAUUUAGAAGUUUCCUAAUAGAUUGGAGCACGUGUUAAUCGGUCAGGGUUGUAGGAAGUGAAACUCCAAUCAGUUAAAGGGAAAGAUAACCAAGUAAUGAAAGUUUGCUAAAGUAGAGAAGCCUGAAGACAGAACUCUCUUAAUCGGUUAAGGUUCCUGUAAUCGAUUAACGUAAAAUACAUAGUAGCAAGAUAGUGCAAGGCAAGGAAAAUGUGAUCCAUUAAAGCUGCUUAGAACCAGUUAGUUGAACUUUGUCUGUAUUUUUGAAUUUAAGCACUAGAGCAUAAAAUAACAGUUGACCAGCAUCAAAGUUGUCUCCAACAGCUGAAAAUUGUCUUUAACAAAAAAAUCUGACUCCUCAAGUAUAAAUUGAGGCUCCAAUGGUGAAAUAAGGUAGAUUGAAUGAGAAAAGAGCCAUUUGGAGCAAAAAGCCAAAUAUCUUUAAGCAAAAACACUUGUUCUUCAUUUUUAUUUUAGAAAAAGUGUUUGAGCUUGCUUGUAAUCUUUCCAAAUUUGUAAAGAAUUCUAGUUGUACUUCUUUUUCUUCUCCUUUUUAGGAAAUUAGAGUGUGGGAAGCACUUUAAAGCUUGUUGUAAGGGAUUAGAGCUUGGGUAGAAUCUCACCUUAUAAAAGCUUGGUGGAAGCUGUUAAUUCAACUAGAAUAAUGAAGUUGGGUUGAAAAUCCUUGAUUGGGAGAUCAAGGUAGUGGAUGUAGAUCAAGAGGACCAAACCGCUAUAAAUACUCUUGCAUUGUCCACUUCUCUCUACCCUGCCUUACUUGGUGUCUUUUAGCUACUACAAGCUUUACAUCUUUUUCCCUUUAAUUGGUUAAAAGUUCAACCACUCAAAAAAGGCUAAUCUUAAACUUUUUUAGUGUUAUUCAUCCCCCUUCGAGCACUCUAACGGGAUCAACAAGUGGUAUCAAAGCCAUACCUCAAAUUUAAGGUUUAACAUCAUUAAAGGUGAUCCAUAUGGCUUUGGAAAAGUCUAUUGUUGCUGAGGGUCAAUCUAAAAAUAGCCCUCAUUUAUUUGGUGUAUCAAAUAAUGCUUAUAUGUGUUAGGAAUUUUGAGAAUAUGGUGCCCUGGGAAGCAAGUAUAUUGUCAUGCUUAAAUUCAUUUAUUUGUAAUGAAAGUACAUUUUGAUAAUAAGACGAAGAGUUUGUUUUAGUAAGCAUUCAUUAUCUAGUUAUUAAGGUACUAAGAUUCUAUUGAGAUAUUAAAAUACAUUUGUAUGAAGAGUCAUACAUAGGAGACAUGUAUUUUAAUUGAAUCUAAAAAAUUGUUCAUAGCCAUAUAAUAAAGCUGGUCACUUUAUUAUGUUAAGGCUGUAGUAUCCAGAUUACUUCCAAAAAAAUGAAUGUGAUUCAUUUCAAGGGAAUAAUGAGUCUCAAAUCAUCGAAAUGGUUGACUUGAGUAAUGACACUAUAACAUGAACUAGAAUCAUGUGAGAAUCAAAUUUAAGUUUUACCGUUACCUAUAUCUUGAUCUCACACUUAUGCAUUUGCUUUUAGUAGAACCGAAAUCCUGAUGGAUAGUGGACUCGUGUUUAAUCUCCUUAUGAUCUUUGAUUUACCAUGAGCAUGAUCAUCAUAAAGCGUUGAUCUAGACUCCGUAUUUUGGGAUUACAGUCGAGAUGAGCAUCUGGGAACAUAUAUCCAGAUAAUGGAGUUCAUAGCAUUUACAUCACUUCUAGUGAUUUUAAGAAGAUUGGUGAUUAAUCUGGGCCCAGUGGAUUGAUGAAUUAGCUACUCAUCACAUCUGGAUACUCAAAAGAUUAGAUCUAGAGAUCUGAAUCACUAAUUGGAUGAAAUUUGAGACUAAGGGACAAAAUUGACAUAAAGGGUAAAACGAUAAUUUCACAUUUUUUCAUUGGAUGGUUAUAAGGGUUCACAAUAUAAGGUUUGCAAUUGGACAACUAACAAUUAAUAUCAAGUAUUGAAUUGUUUCUUGCAAUUAUAGUUAAUCCAAGAGUGCAACCAUGAAUCUAUGGUGGAGUGAAUUCAUGGUUAAUAAGCUUGAAUUAUUUUUAAUGAGAUUAAGGAUAAUUCUAAGUUUAUUGGAGCUUGGAAUAUCUAUGUCCAAAUAGAAGCCUCACUUAGCUUCGUAGAAUUCAACUUGUUUAAGUUGGAAUGCAUGUUUUAAUUUGUUUAAUUGAAUUGUGUACAAAAAUGGUAGCUUUAACAUAUUUGUCUCAAUUUAGACAAGAUAAGAUAUUUUUUUGUCUUAAUUACAGACAAGAGUUGUCUUAAAUUAAGAUAAGUUUAGGAGGAUUCUUGCAAAAUGAAUCUAGACAUCCAUGUUGAUAAAAGGAGACUCCAUGUUUGACUAUUACUCUUUUAUUUAUUAUUAAUUCUUUUUAAAUAAAGAUGGACAAUAAUAAAAUAAGAAUUAUUAUUCAAUAAGGAGUUUUAUUUUAUCAAGAACUCUAAAUGAUAAUUAAAGAAUUAAAUUAUUUAUUCUUUAAUUUUUAUUUUGAUAAUUAUGGAACAUGUUUGAUGCUUCCAUAACUCUAAAUGGAUGGUCAAGAGUGAUUCAAAGGUGUUUCAUUUUGAUUAAACCUUUGAAGCAAGAGUUUUAAUAAAAAGAGAAAAGAUUGGAAGAAAACAUAUAAAAUGUACUUUUUCUUAAAAAAAAAAAAGUUUCAGCCAUCUCUUCUCUUUUCCUCCUCCAAGCUUUUCCAAAGAAAAGAGAAUAAAAUCGAUUUCCAUCUUGUAGCCUUGCAUUCCACACCUUGUCCACUCAAGGUUCAAGUUGAAAGUAUUCUUGAAGAAUAAGUGGUAAACUUAUUUGGUCGAGAAGUCAUUCAUUGGUGUGGUGGUGUUCGAAAAUAAGAAUCUUAAAAUAAAGGUAUCGUUUUUCUUACUUAAUAGAUUCUUAUUUUAUUUUUUGAUGUGAUUAUAUUGAUUGCAAUAAUUGUCACUGACCCGGUACUCUCCUUGAGCCCGUGACAACCGCCGUGAUGUUCCGAUAGACAUUCAUUACCCAAAAUGCCAACCGAAACCCCGUACGACUUUAAUAUUAGUUUUCGCACCUCCUCUGUGAGCAACAGUUGUUAAAUAUCAUAUUUUGAGAGACUAUAAACUAUUUCCAAAUCAAAACAAUAAAAAAAUAAUUUUUCGCUCACAGGGGUAUUUUGGUCAUUUUUUCUCGAAAGUCUCGAAACCAGCUAAAAAUAUAGUAUACAAGUGGAAAACACAUAUUUCAUAAUCAAAAAUAAGUUUAGAGAUCUAAAACAUUCAUUUAAAGUGAAAUUAUAACUAUUUGAAUAUAAUAUAAAUAUUUAAUAAAAAUAUUCUAUUUUCUUAUAAAACAAUAUUUAUAGAGUUACCGGUAAAUAAUUUUUGUAGAGUAAAAGCUAAAUAAAUUCAUACAUACUGUAAUACAGAUAACCAAAGUAUAAAAUUUAAUUUACAAUGACACAUGGGCCCACGAACGACUAAAAGUAUCAAAAGCGGUAAACCUACAGUUUUUGAGGAUGCAAGUCCAACUGUAGCCCUCAACAAAGUGAGCUAUCUACCAACUAUCCUGAGCCUGAAAUGGGUGGAAAAGAGGGUUGUGAGAUUAUAUAAUCCCAGUGAGUAAACAAAUACCAUCUAAAAUAUCUAAAGUUGAGUAAAUGGAGACAGAUUAAAAUAGAUCAUCACACUGUAAUUCAUCACCUUUCAACUCAUUUCAACCAAACAAAAUCAAUUCAUAUAAAUUGAGUAAUCAACAUGGCUUAUGAAUUUCUUAAAACUUUGGCUCGUGCCAAAAUCAUUCUCAUACUCAGUUAUCCAGGAUACCUUGGCAGAGGGCUAUCCCAACCGAGUCCGCCAAGGCUAUUAAAAAGUCAUGUACGCAUAAAUCAUGUUUUGAUUUUGAAAACAUAGCCGUUCCUUGGCGUUGGCUAAGUUCACCCUCAUGUGGUGGUUUAGCGUGAAGUGAACUCUAAAGUGUUAACCUCAGGAGUUAUCCAUCCGCGCCUCUCAUACUGAGGUAAGAAUAUAAUAGGGUUACUGUGCCCCCUCUAAUAGGCUGGUCCACGGAACCCGUCCAUUGCAGCGACUAAUCAAUAACCCACCAAUUCAAUAAAAUUCAACAGCAUGACAUGGCAAUUUUAUCAUUAUCCAGCUUAUCAAGGCAAAGAACAAUUUAUACAUUUUCAACACAAAUACCAAUUCAACCAUUCAUGCCAAUAUUAUCAUAAGCCAUUCAAUUCAAACCAUGAUUUAUAACACAACAAUUAAUCUCCAAUUACUCCAUUUUCAAAACCAUCAUUCAAUUUCAAGACAAUUUUAUAAAAUCAUUUCAUUUAAUCACAUUUUUGCUUAUAAAACAUAAAGAUUUACCAUUUAAACUUAUUUUUCUAUCAAAUCACAAAAAUGAAUAAAAACUACUUUAGAUAAUUAAGACGAUAAUAAGGUUACUCACUAUUUCGGGAGUCGAAUUCUGAGUACUUCGAUUCUUGAUCCUCGGGUACUAUCUCUUUACUUUUGCCAGAAUGCUCACCACCUAGACAUAAUGCACAAUAAGCCAUUUACUACAUUUGUGCUAAAUUGGUAUAAAACCAAUUCAUGCUCUAUACUAAUGCAUGAAAUGGGAUGUGAAAUACUCGGGUAACUAUUUAAAUACAGUGUUCAAUAUAAAUUCAAUUAUGUACCUAAAUAAAACGAUAUUGGCCUAAUUCGAUCUAUCACCCGAUUAAUUAGCUAAUACGUCCAAUUCAAUUCCAAAUAAUUUCAUUUUUCUCCCAAUACUCCAAAUCAUCAAACAUAAAUUAAUUAACUUGAAAUAUGGCAAAAUCAUCCUCACAUUUUCUCUUGGAAAAUUCGGCCAUGGUGGGUGCAUCAACACUAUGAUUUUUCCUACUUGAUUUCUCACCAUAAUUCAUCAUUUCCUAACCAAUUCACUUGAAAUAAAAUCAAAUCCACCAUCAACACACCAUAGGAAAGAUUCAGCCAAUGGAGGUUCUUGUGGGGUAUACGGGUUUUCAUGCUAAACAUUACCAUUUUCGGUUUCCACCACCACAAUUCAUUAAAUUCUAACUAUAUAACAUAAGACAUCACAUGAUUCAUCUUCAAUAUUGUCUUUAUGAAAUUCGGCCAAUGAAAAAUCCAUGAAGAAUAUGUGAUUUUUCUUACUUGUUUUCCUUCCAAACAUGAUAAAUCAACUAUAAACACUAAAAUAUCUCAAAAUCUAACCAAAUAAAUCAUCAAAUCUUCUCUCUCUAAAUUCGGUCAGCCAUGAAUCCUUCAUGAUAUCUUGUGAUUCAACCAUGGAAAAUGCAAAAGACUGUAUGGGAAAGGUAGAUCACAAGUCAAAAUCAAGAAAUUUUACCUUUGAUUGCUUGAUUACUUGAAAUCCACCAAUUUUCUCUUGAAUUUUCACUCUAGGGUUUUUGUUCUUCUUUCCUUCUUUUGUUCUUGCUAUGGCCGACCAUGAGAAA